Molecule: long non-coding RNA, 52439 nt
Filed under: Solanum tuberosum (potato)
Lineage: Eukaryota; Viridiplantae; Streptophyta; Magnoliopsida; Solanales; Solanaceae
Description: long non-coding RNA (STUB_LNC006715)
Source: RNAcentral
UUCCAUAGGGGCUUUCCUCAUAGAUUACUACAACCUCCCUCCAAUUAUAGUUUUUAACAAUUGCUGCAAUGGCUUUAGUCUGACUGGAAGAAGGAAGUGCUCCUCUGAUGAAGAAGGGAUUUUCCUUGACUGUAAGUAAAGGACUUGUUGCUGGAGAAAUUAUAGGGACUUUUACUCUGUUCCCUAAGUCGAUCACAAAAUCAGUUUGAGUAGACAUUUGUGGCCCAAAGAUAGCUUGCACUUGGACAUCCUUUAGCAAGUAUAUGGCUGCACAUACACAAUCAGACUUAUAAGUAAUUGUCUGAACAUCUNNNNNNNNNNNNNAAAUUUAUUUGUGAAAUUUGCAUAAAUAGCAAUCUUUUUUAUUUUAAGAUGAGUGGAACUUUUUUUUUUUUUGGCUUUUUCUAAUUGUUAAUCUUAUAUAUUUUUUAAAUUUAUUUGUGAAAUUUGCAUAAAUAGCAAUCUUUUUUAUUUUAAGAUGAGUGGAACUUUUUUUUUUUUUGGCUUUUUCUAAUUGUUAAUCUUAUAUAUUUUUUAAAUUUAUUUGUGAAAUUUGCAUAAAUAGCAAUCUUUUUUAUUUUAAGAUGAGUGGAACUUCUUCUUUUUUUUUUUGCCUUUUCUAAUUGUUAAUCUUAUAUAUUUUUUAAUUUAUUUGUGAAAUUUGCAUAAAUAGCAAUCUUUUUUAUUUUAAGAUGAGUGGAACUUCUUCUUUUUUUUUUUGCCUUUUCUAAUUGUUAAUCUUAUAUAUUUUUUAAUUUAUUUGUGAAAUUUGCAUAAAUAGCAAUCUUUUUUAUUUUAAGAUGAGUGGAACUUCUCUUCUUUUUUUUUUUUUGCUUUUUCUAAUUGUUGAUCUUAUAUUUUUUUAAUUAAUUUUUAUUUGUGAGGUUUGCAUAAAUAGCCGAAGAGGUUCAAACCCACAACUCUAGCAUGGGAAAGCAUUCCCAAGACCCCUUCCUUACCACUAAGCCAUCAAUUAGUUUUGCUAAGGGGUUCACAAGUUAAUAUACAUAUAUAUUUAUUUAAUUUUUUAAUACAAGUAUAGAGUUUACAUAAAAGCUAUUGGGUUCGCCCGAACCCCCACUAAGAUAGGCAUAAAAGUAUCAAUACAUUUAUUUUUAUGAAGGUAAAUACCAUUAGAUGUAACUUUUCAAGAAUGAAAACAUGUAUUAAAACAAAACUGAAAAGAGUAAUAACAUAAGUGAGAAAAAAAGACAAGAAAUGUAGAGAGACAAGAGAGAGUUUUCUUAUUCUUCCAAGUAUAUUCAAGUGUUUUCCAAAUCUUCAAGUGCAUAAUACAAUCUCAAGACCUCUAUUUAUAUUGUUAUAAAAAGACAUACAAAGAGAUAACAAUAAACAUGAUAUUAAUUUUUGAGAAUGUAGGGAAGAUCAAGGGGUGUAGAAGAUAAAUGAGGAGAUGGUGAAGGUGUGAGUAUUAUUACAUAUAAUGGUGAAAUUACACCUUGAAGUUAUGGACAUCCACAUUAAUAUAAUAUAUUUACAACAAAACAUUAAUUACAUAUAAAUUAUAACUAAAUUAAAAAUGAUGAGAAAAACAUAAAAAUGCCCCCAAAAAAGGAGAAAAAAAUUAAAUAUGAAUAGAGAUCAUAGAGAGGUGUCACGUCACUUUGUCUAUAUCUAGCUUUAUUUUUAUUUUAUAUAUAUAUAUAUAUAUAUAUAUAAGAAUAGAGGUCAUAGCCUAUAUCUAGCUUUAUUAUAUAUAUAGAUUUUUCUUCAGUUUUUGUUGGUUUUCUCUUUUUAAAUUUAUUUAUGUAAUACGUAAUAAUAAUAAUAAUAAAAGAGCCUUAUUUUCCCCCAAUUUUCAUUGGUUUUUUCUUUUUUAAAAUUUAUUUAUGUAAAUAUAUUCUUUUUAAAAUUUAUUUAUGUAAUUUUAUUUUUUUUGGAAUAUUUUUAUAUCUAUUAUAUUUUUAAUAGCUCAAAAAAUAUUAAUUCAAUUGAAUGAAAAGAGAAAAUCGGGUUAUUUUAAUCAAAAUUGAACAAUUUGAGUUGAUUUGGGGCUUUCCGUCAAAUGAGGGGUAUAUAUGGUGAAAUUAGUAACGGUAGGGAAAAAACUAACUUCACUUUAACGGUAAAAGCAUAGUUUACCAAUAAAACAAAAUUAAGGGGUGUUUUUGACCCUUUUCCCUUAUCUUUUUCAUAGGUAGCAGUGGAUACUGGAUACAUUUGUUAAAGUCAUAUACUCAAUAAUAUAGUAAUUUUUGUUUAUAUUUUUUAUGAACUAAUGAAAUUGCAAGAAUUAUCACUUAAUAAGCGAGUUUUCAAUUUUUGUUCUUCAACGGUCGAAUUUAUAUCUAGUAAAAUAUAUAUUCUGUAAAGGAGAAAAGUCAUGUAAGGCAUAAGUUGCGGAUAUUAUAAUGCAAGUAUGUAUAUAUAUAUAUCAGAAAAUAAUUUAUCUUGAACACAAAAAUUAAAAAUUAGCACAAAAUAAGGACAAAAGUGCAAUAUUUGUAUAUAUAUGUGUUAUCUGAAAGUUAUUUAUCUUGAACACAAAAAUUAAAAAUUAGCACAAAAUAAGGACAUAAGUGCAAUAUAUGUAUAUAUAUGUGUUAUCAGAAAGUUAUUUAUCUCGAACACAAAAACUAAAAAUUAGCACAAAAUAAGGUCAAAAGUGCAAAAAUUUUAUACUUUCGCUCUCCCGACUCAAGCUAAUACGUUAAAAAUUAAUGGAAAAAUUAUACAAAAUAGUAAAUAUUUAGCCUGUAUUAGGUGAUAUAGCUAUAGUUUUAGAAAAUUGUAAUUUGCGGCUAUAAUUUUUUCAAUUCUUGCUAUUGACCUGAUUUGUAUAAUUCGCAUAAUUUGUAUAAAUCUAGAAUUUGUAUAAUUCGGUUCCUGAUAGUAAAAAUCCAGAAUUUUGUAUAUGUUUACCCUAGUUAUUUGUAUACGAUUUAUUAUUUAUAAUAAAUUACCUUGUUUGUAUAUUGACAAGCGAAAUAUAUAAAUGGAGUUCUGAAAAAUUCAUAAAUGUAUAAUACAUAAUUUGUAUAUAUUUAUCCUAUUGGUAUAUUCGCAAGCGAAAUAUACAAACCACAGCCUCCAUAUCAAACAGAACUAUAGCUAUGGAGCGCAGUUAUUAGAGCUUUAUUAUGUUUGCUAUUUCUAAAAUUUUCUCAAAAUUAAAAUAGACUAUGUUUUUCGGUCUUAUUUCAAUAGGCUCAUAUGGUAUAUAAUUUGAAAGCCUAGGUUUUUUUUGUUUUUUUAUAUCAAUAUUCUUUCAACUUAGCCGAUUGACAAUUAAUUAAAUCGAUGACAAAACUAUUGAUUUCGUAAAUUUGAGUGAUGAAAAUCAAAUUAGAAAAGUAACUAACAAAUGAAAUAUUUUAUGUUAGUGAAUGAAUGAAAUUAUAGGCUUCUUAAUUACAAGAUUUGGAUAAUUUUCUUUCUUUUGAAUUAAUUUUUAAAGUGUGAGUUGUACUCAAAAUCUAAUUUAACAUGACAUUAAAGACAAACCUGAUGUGGGCUCCCAGGAAACCAAACAAUUGCGGAGGUGGAAAUUAUUUUCUAUUCAUGAAUGUGAGCAUGUGACACACCGAAUUGGAUCAUGAAAUCUCAUAUAAAGAAUUUGGAUUUGUACGGUAUAUAUGAGGAUAAUAAUGAAAGAAAUGUCUCACAUCAAUGAUAAAUAAAAUCCUAAGCUUCGUUGUUCAACAAGUGAAUUCAAAUUUUUAGAUUCUUUAAUAUCUUGAUGUUAAACUAAAAAAUAUUGGUUUAUAAUUACUCUUAAUUAUUUAAUUUUUUGUCGGUUUGCUUCACGGGUGAGCAUGUAUAAUUAAUUACUAGUGUACUUGUCCGCGCUUCGCGUGUGUAUAAGAAAAUAUUAAAUAUAUUUUUAAAUAAUUAAUGCCAUUAUUUGAUAAAUAUUCUUAUAAAUAAUAUAAUAAAAGGGAGAAAUACAAAUUAAGUUACGAUUCUGAUAUUAUCUAUUCAGAAAAAUUGUUAAAAAAGUUUCAUGCUACAGUUUCAAUUUAAAAUUGCUGAUAAAAAAGAUGAAAAUAUAAAAAUUGAUAUGAAAAGCUUUAGUUAAAUAAACAAUCUAAUUAUCAUAGUUUCAUACUAAAUUUCAUGAUUUUAUAGCAAUAUUAUUGAUUCAACCAUUAAUAUUAAAUCUACUUUAUCGUAAAUUAUGUGACUUUUCUUUUUUUGUAUAAAUGACUAUAUAAUAGAAACAAGAAAAUCAAAAUAUAUUUGUGCUAAAAUCAUCGUGAGGGAAAAAAUAUUUUGAAUUAUAUUCGAACAUAGUUAUACACAAAAUUCAAAAGUUAGAGAUUUUUUUUCGAUAUCCGAUGCUCAUUUUUUUUUUGAUAUCCGAUGCACGUAGUGACACUCAUUUGAUACAUAUUUGUGUCGCAUAAGAUCCAUUAAUAUUUUAAUUUAUAUUUAAACUUUCAUUCUUAUAGUGUGCAUUGUGAAAAGAGAUACUUAAGUUGCUACAGUGAAACAUUACCGUUGAGGUUAUACUUUUACAAUAAAAAUAAAAUAAAAUUAAACACAUAAUUUUGUCGUAUUAAGAUUAUCAGAUAGCGAUGAAGAAAUAUUUUUUUUUAAAAAAAAAUGAGUAUGUAGUGUUCAAGAUGUAGAAAAAGUAUCAAGAGUUAGAUAAAUUUUUUCAAUUUAUAUAUAUAUAUGGGACAAUAAAAGUUUAACAACAUCAAAAUAAUUAUUCCUAUUAUUACAAUAUUAUUGUUGUAAUUAUUAUAAAUAAAUUGGAGCAAUAACUCUCCAAAAGAUAACUCCAUUUUUUGUAUGUGGGAAAAUAAAAUAAUUUUUUUACUUUUCAAUAAUAAUAAAUUUUAAACACAAAUUUGUUAUUAAGAGAAUCAAAUGAUGAAAUUUAAAAAAUUUACUUGAUAAAUAAGAGAGUUGAAUAAAUUAUUUUUUAGUAUAUAUAUAUAUACACACACACUUGAUUAUUUUUAGGGAAAAGGGUCAAAAAUAUCCUCAAUUUUAGUUUAUUAGUUAAAUAUACCCCUAUCGUUGAAACAAAGUUAUUCAUACCAUCACCGUUACUAAUUUCUCCAUUUAUACCCCUCAAUUGACGGAAAUCCCUAAAUCAAACAAAAUUGACUCGAUUUCUUAAAAAAUGACUCAUUUUCCAUUUUAAAACCAUGUCCGACCCAUCUAUCUAUCUUAAACCCAAAAGAAUUUAACCCAUUUUCUAUACCCAUUCUAAAAAGAAAAUUCAUUUGGAGCUACUUCUCCAAUUGCGUUUUAGGUGACAAAAAAGUGUUGAAAUGUAAAAAGAGUGACUCUAGUUUUAAUUAUUAAGUGUAGGUGACAAAUUUUUAAUCAAUUUUUAACAAUAAUUAAAUAAGUCCUCAAGUUUUUGUUUUUACACUUUCAUUUUUUGGAGCAAUAAUUUUGUUNNNNNNNNNNNNNNNNNNNNNNNNNNNNNNNNNNNNNNNNNNNNNNNNNNNNNNNNNNNNNNNNNNNNNNNNNNNNNNNNNNNNNNNNNNNNNNNNNNNNNNUGACUUCAAAGACAUUGUCGAGCAGCACCUAAACACACAAAAAUCGAUCCGAUCUAAGCACUUUUAGACGAGUAUGAUGACUCUACUAAUGGAGGAAAGAGAAGAAGGAGAGUGGCAUCGUGGUCGGCCAUGGCCGUUUCCGAAGCAAACCGUUGUCGCCGGAGCUCGAAGCAGACAAUUGGAGAGAAUCAAAGACAUAUAUUUUACCCAAAUAAUUACAACAAAAAAAAUUAAACCAAUAAAAGAAAAUUCACAACCCCCACCCCCUGUAAUGUCUUCCUCAAAGAUCCUACUCAUUUGCAGAAACAUCUGCACACCCCAUCCUUCCCUCUAAUUUUUUUCUCCAAACUCUUCGAUUCGUUUUAGUGCGCACACACCUACACACUAUUUCUUUUUUCAUCAUUUUAGAGUAGUAUCUUUAUUCACUAUUAUUAGAAUUUAACUUUGUAAGGGAAUUGGUGAGAUAGGUAAAUGUGCUUCUCACAAAGAUGUCUGCUUUUUGCAGUCAUGAGAAGAGGCAGCGAUGAUGAUGUUCACUUUUUGAGUUAGCUGACUCUGGAAUUUGGGGAAAAUAAUUUAAAAGGAAGAGUAAAAAAAGUUUGUAGAAAUGGUGACUAAAGGGCAAGGAAAAUGAGUUAAAUUAUUUUGGGUUUAAGAUAGAUGGAUGGAUCAGGCAUGGGUUUAAAAUGGGGGAUGGGUCAUUUUUUAACAAAUCGGGUCAAGUUUGUUUGAUUUGGGGAUUUCUGUCAAUUGAGGGGUAUAAAUGGUGAAAUUAAUAACGACGAGGGUAUAAAUAACUUUGUUUUAACGGUAUGGGUAUAUUCAACUAAUAAACUAAAAUUGAGGGGUAUUUUUGACCCUUUUCCCAUAUUUUUAUAAUGCCUUUAUUUAUAGGAUAACAAUAUAAAAUAUCAAAUGAUAUCAUGAACAUGACUAUUAAUAUGAUUUAAGAGAUAUGAUCAAGUCAUGAAAGUAAGGAAAAUAAAGACAAUUAAAUAUCAAAUGAUAUUAUGAACAUAAUUAUUAAUAUAAUUUAGGAGUUAUGAUCAUCAAAAGUCAUGAAAAUAAAAACAAUUAAAAUUUUCUAUUAAAAAAUAUAAAUAAAUGAAGGAAUAUAAUUGACAUAUUCAGUUUUGUACAACAAUAAGAUAUAUAUAAAUAAGAAAAAUUAUCAAAAAAUGAGAAAAAAAGAAGAUAAAUAUGAUUCUUGGCCAAAAAAAUAUGUCACGUCACUUUUCUUUUAUCUAGAUAAUUUAUAUGUUGGUAAAAAAAGUAGAUUGAGAGAGAAAAACAAUUUUACUAAGUCGUUUAUAUCCUAAUCAAAUACUUUUGCAUUUUGAGUUCAGACCAGGUCAUAGCAGUAAUUUCUGAAAUUUCAAAAACUUAAGAACUUAUAACAAUAACAAUAAAAAAAAUUAAAAUAUGAAGAUCACAAAGUUACGUAUUAAUAGUUAAAAAAAAUUUAUGAAUUAAACUGUAUUUUGAAAAUUAAUUAACUUUAACAUUCUCAUAUUCUAUCAUUCAUCUAUUGGGCUAAAAAUACCCUUGAAGUAUUAGAAAAGGUCUAAAAAUACCCCUCCAUCCGCCUUUUUGGUCCAUCUCUAUCCUUAAAACUAACAGUCACUUUUAAAAAAAUUAUUAUUAUUAUUAUUUGUUACAUGUCAUUUUCUUAGUGGAUAAAUUAAAUCCCAGCCCAUUUAAUUUUCCCCUACCCACCCAUUGUAGUGAACAUGAUCAAACCCAAUUAGAAGACCCAUUAAAAAAUAAAUUGAUUGAGAUUUAAUUUAUCCAAUAGGAAAAUGACAUGUAAUAAAUAAUAAUAAUAAUAAUAAAAAAUUAAAAAGUGGUUGUUAGUUUUAAAGGUAGAGAUGGACCAAAAAAGUGGAUGGAGGGGUAUUUUUAGCCCAAUAGAUGAAUGAAUGGUAUUUUUAGACCUUUUCAAAUAAUUCAAGGGUAUUUUUGGCCCUUUUCUGUAAUUAAUAAAAAGUUGAUCCACAUAACUAUAAAAUUAUAUCUACAUACUUUCUUCAGUAGCAUACAUAUACAUGUAUAAGGGUGUAUAAAACCGAAUCGAAAACCUAACCAAACCGCAAACCGAGUCAACCCGGAAAAAAAACCCGAACUAGUGGUUUGGUUUUUGAAAAAAAAAACCCCGAACUAUAUUUGGGAUUGGUUUGGUUUUAACUAAAAAAAACCAACCCGACAUUAUAUAUAUAAUUUUAAAAUUUUAUUUUAUACAUAAAAAUAUUUACUUUGAUAUAAUUUUUAAAUAUUUCUUAUACUUUUUCAUAAUUUUUUAUCUUUUAUUAUAUUAUUUCAAGUUUUGAAACUUAGAAUUAUGAAUGGGCCAAUAAAAAUUAUAGUUCACAGAUGUUGGUAAUUGCCUAAUUAUAAUAAAGCUUAAAUCAAAAUUAAAUUAAUACUAAUGCAAAAAUAAAAUCAUUUCAACACGACAAUAAUAUUGAAUAUUUGUUCUUUAGUUUUACAUUGGUUUAGACAAUUAAAAUACAUAACCUAAUUUAAUUUCCUUUAAAUAUUUAGUCAUGUAACUAAUACUUAUUAAAUUUAUUUUUAGCAUGCUUUAGUACUUUUAAAUUAUGAUCAUUUUCAUUAUGACUUGUUAAUUUGCAAUAUUUGUUUUACACGAUUUCAUUAUUAUUAUUAUUUUUGUUGGAUAUUUUAGUGUCAUUAAUCAUAUUAUAUUGUAGUAUAUUUUUAAGAAACAUCUUAGAUAGUUGUAGUUUGGUAUGGCUAAAGAAAUAUUUGAAGUACAAGUAAAUUAUAUGUUUGUAUGAAUACUUUACCGAAACAACCCAAAAAACCGAAAAAACCUGAAAAACCCAAGGUUGAAAAACCCGAGUUUUAUUGGUUUGGUUUAUAAAUAUAAAAAUCCAACACAAAUGGUUUGGUUUGAUAUUUGAAAAACCCGAACCAACCCGACCAUGUACACCCCUAUACAUGUAUAUGUUAACUUCUUAUUCUACUUUGUUGAAUUAUAUCCUCAGCAUAAGUAGUGAAGACAAAACAAAGUAAUAAUAAAAUGACGGAAUGACCUGGGAGACCCAUGUACUUAGCUCCGUUUGUAAGUUGAACCCUCCUACUUAUCAAUUUGUCAACUGAACCCCUAAACCCAUCAGAACACAAUAUUUUAAACCCAUUUGACCAUUAACCGAACUUAUGUAGCAUUGAUAAUGCUGAGUUGGAAAAUUACGUAAUUACAUACGUUUGACAGUGAGUAAAUAAGGUAUUUUACAUUAAAAAUAUUUAAAUAAUAAUAAUCAAUUUAAAAAAAAUAAUUAAAAACCCAUCUUCCUCAACCAUCCCUCUCCAACCCCACUCCACCCCUCUCUCCUCCGUCCGAACCCAUAAACUCAUCAUAACACAAUAUUUUAAACCUCUUAGACCAUUGACUGAACUUAUGUAGCAUUGAUAAUGCUGAGUUGGGAAAUUACGUGAUUACAUGCGUUUGACAGCAAGUAAAUAAGGUAUUUUAAAUUAAAAAUAGAGUAAAGACAUAAAUACACCAUCAAAGUUGUCCCGUAUUUUCAUAAUGACACCUUAACUUUUAAAGUGUCCUAUCACACCACAGAACUAUUUAAUAUCUUUGUAAAUGGGCCAUUUUGACCCAUUCCCUCGUCUAUUUAGUGGCGCGUGUUGCUCACUCCCUAUGAUGAGAAAAGACCCGACCCGACCCUGUUCUUUGAAGAAAGUCAUUUCUCCUUUUCUUUUCUUAUUUCUCAACUUUCCCUAAAAUCUAAAGAAAUAGAAAAGUUUUCUCAACAACUUUAAGUAUGAGUGAAAUAGGUCUAAAAAUAGAGGAGAUUAGAUAAAGGAUUCAAUCCAAUUACUUUGGAAGUGGGUCCUGAAUCUUUGUUGCAUCAUUGCAGCUUCGAGGGAUCCUAAGUUUCCAUACACUAAGAACCAUUGAUUCUUAGGUGAAGUAAUACAAUGGCCGGUUUAAAACACGGGGCAAGAUCUAGUACAGGUGUAAGGGUUGAUUAACAUAUUAAGCAUGCAUGGAUUAAUACUUCUCUACACCGCAUAGAAUCUCAAUUUCCAGGAGCACACAACAUGAUGGAAGCGGAGCCCUCCCCAUUGGACAAAAUGAAAAAAUAAAUGUUAAUGCUGUUAUACCCCAUUUUAACUCGAGGUCAAAACGGUGUACGACAUUUUGGUGAUUUCCAAAUUAAUUAACUUAAGAAGUCGCCACCUAAUUAAUUACGGUGAAUUAGGACACCUAAAUAUUGAACUAAGUAAUACUAAAAUGACUUCAAUUAAAAGGUCUACUAAACUUAAGAUUCUAGGUAAGGGUUCUAAUUAUCCUAAAGGGAAGGGGUAAGGCAUCCUUUAAGAUCCAUUAAAGACGGUUACCGGCCAAACUUAGGUUAAUUAAUUUUAAAAGAAAGAUAUGAGUGUUAAAUAUUAAGUGAUUGAAUAACCAAGUUGGAAAACAUUUUUUACUUUAAAAGCACUUUUGCAAUUUAUUAGAAUGAAAAAGAUUUAAGAAAGAGUAAUUUCUUUAGAUCAAUUUAGACAAAUUCAUGGCUAAAAAAAGUAAUUAAAAAAAAAAAAAAAAAAAAAAAAGCAUUUGCUCAUUAACCGACAAGAUGCUCUCUUUAGAAAAAGUUUAAGAAAAAUAAGAGUUUAGAACAAUAUAUUUUUUCUUUGAAAGAUAUUGCCAAGUUUGAACAAAACUUAAUAAAUUAGUGAGUUUAAAAUGGUGCAAAAGAAGUGUUUUAAAAAAAAAAAGCUAAAGUAACUAUAAAGGUUGUUUCUAACUAAAGGUACCCAAACCCAAACAUCUAUAUUAAGUCAACUAUUAUGAAUCCGAACUAGAAAUAUAUAAAUCACACAAGCAAGUAUAAAUUGAAAGAAAACACAAACAAAUAAUGCAAAAUGUAAGUAGCGAUAGGUGACUCCAAGAUAGGACCACUUGUUUUGCUUGCAAUUUCGAAUGGUCAAAGAUGUAGUGAAGAUUCCAUGUGCGGGUGUGAGGAUAAUGUUGAGUCUAUGAGACUCGGUAAUUUGCUAGAGUCUUGAAUCAAAGACUCCAUUUUGCUCCAAAGUGUACAUGUAAAUAAAGAGAGGGUAAAAAAGAAUUGGUAAGACAAUUAAACCUUACUCGAUAUCGAAUAAACUAGAAAUAGAAUUGAGUUAAAUAGCAUAACGAAAAUACCAUCCAAAACAUGAAAACAUGCAAAUGCGAAACAAAUCUCAAAGCAAACUACUACGACGCCUUUAAGGCACAAAAAAAAACAAUACACAACCCCUCAUAUUUAAGCUACAAACGAACUACUCGUUAAAGACUUGAAUUUAAAAAAAAUACUUAUGCCAUAAGUUUUCCAGAUUUAUACAUGCUGUAAUACUAUUACUUAAACUAAAAAAAAUAAAAACAAAAUACAUACACAAUACAAUUAACAAAAGAGCACAAAACAUAAGUUAGUACUUGUAUGCAAAAAGUAAGUUGCACGAGAAUUCCUACAGACGUAACUCUUAAUAAGAGAGCACUUAGUUGCUAACCAUUUUUUAUAUAUUUUACAGUCAUCUUCCUUAAGCAUGCUAUACAUAGGAAAAUAUGAACAUUGAAAUUUUAACAUAUAAGCACACGAAAUAAAUCAUUUAAACUGAGAACGAAACAGCAACAACACAACCCAUAUAAAUCGAACUAUGAGACUAAGUCAUUAACAAAAUAUUUAAAUCCAAAGCUAAGCCAUUCUUUAAACUCAAGGUCUAGUAAAUGAGGGGAAAACAAUUUCUGAUCUGUAUAAAUCUCAAAAGGAUACAAACACAUUUUUUAACAAUCAACAUAUAAUAAUAGCGAACUAAAUAAUAUUAGUUCGAGUAGAAUUUGAGAGAAACUUAAAAGCUUAUAAGAUACAGGGUGCGAAGCUGCUGUAGUGUAUCCGCGAUUAGAGCUUAUAUUUUUUUAAAAAAAUAAUGAUAUGGUCUGUACCAUAUUUUAACUAAAACAAAACAAAUAUUAUAUUCCUUGAACACGUUUUUACAUAGGAAUGCAUACAUAUAUCAAAUGAUCAGAACUUGGAGUAAGAAUUAAUGUAUAUGACCUAAAAUACAACCAUUUCCAUGUAAUAAAUAAAUUUAUAUCUCAAACGAAAACACAAAUACAAUUAUCAAAUAACUUUGAAUACAGUUAAACUAGGCAGGAAUUACUCUCUACAUACAAAUUUGUUAGAGUAACAUAACAUUUUCCCACAGAAACAAAACAGAGGAAGAAAAAGAGAAUGUCACCUGCUAUAGGGCAGUGAACGGGGCUGUUUCGAUCAAAUGUCUAUAUUCGAACAAUAACGAACUCAAGGAAGCUUGAAACUUGAGUUUCGAUCGAGAUUUAAAGAAGGAUGCAAAGACAAUAUUUUAGAAAAGAAAAUAGUAGUUAAACAAUGCUAUGGUGCAAGGAAAAGCUUUUUAAGAAUGAAUGCCAAGGCUUCUAUGGAGGCUGAAAAAUCCUCUUUUUUUUUUUUGCUAAAGAUAUAAGGAUGUAUUUAUAGAAAAAAUUAGGGUUCUUCAUUGUGUUGAGCGGGAAUAGAUUUUGAACUUUCAAAUUAGUCAAAAAGUCUUCAAAUCCGACCGUUUGAAGCUUGAAACAGACAUCACGUGAUACCUUGGAGAAAGAGACAAGUUUUGCUUGGAAUGGACCAAGCAAAGUCUGUCCAUGGCUGAAGAGAAACGAAACUUUAGCCAAAAAUGGAGGAGAAAAGACAGACAUCGAGUAAAGAGAAAAGACCUAAAUGAUUUCGGGUCUUGAGCCAUUUUACUGAUGAAUGAACAUUGGGUUGGGCUGGUGCUAAAUUUUCUUUUGUGGGCUGAUCUGAAAGUUCCGUUGGGCCAUAUUUUGGAGUGGAUUUGGGCUCGUUUUGCUGGACCAAUUUUGGGCUGAAUUUUGAAGGUCUUUUCUCUUCUUUCUUUGUAUUAUUUUGGGCUUCUAAAUUAAUAAUUAAUACAAUAUCUAUUAUGAUAUGAUAACAACUAGAAAUUUACAUAAUAAAAAUAUCACUAAUAUAAAAUAUAUAUACGAAAUAUUAAAUAAUAAUUAAUUUAAUAAAUACGAAACUAGAAAUAAGAUGACGACAAUUGGUUAUUUAAGAAAAGAGAUGUAAAAAAGUGAUAAUAAUCAUUUCGAUAAUAAAAACCUAUAAUUUUAGUAGAUUAAUAGUUGUAAUAGUAAAAAUAGUUGUGAAAAGAGAUAAUUCGAUACAUUAUUAAUUUAGAAGCUUGAAAAUGAUAAAUUAGAAGAAAGGAGGGUCAAAAUUGGGUGUCAACAAUGUUCCCUUUGUUGUUUUCCUAAUAUUGGUAGUUGAGAUAUUGUUAGGAUAUUAUAGUUUUUCGUUGUUACAGGUUGAUCUUGCUUGGAAAAAACCAUGAAAUCAAAAAAUUAGGGCUAUUUUGGGUUUAAAAUUGGGGAAGAUGACAUAAAUUGAUUAUAUAAUUAAUAAUAAAGAAAGCUAAUGACACGUGGCACUUUUAAAUUGGUCCAUGGCAGUGAAAGCACGGAAUGACGCGCCUCACGUGCAUGGUAACAACCCAGACGAGGGAAUGGGUCAAAAUGGCCCAUUUACAAUGAUAUUAAAUAGUUCUGUGGGGUGAUAGGACACUUUGAAAGUUAAGAUGUCUUUAUGCAAAUACGGGACAACUUUGAUUGUGUCUUUAUGUCUUUUCUCUUAAAAAUAUUUAAAUAAUAAUAAUCAAUUUUAAAAAAUAAUUAAAAACCCAUCUUCCUCAACCAUCCCCCUCCCACCCCUCUCUCCUCCGUCUGAACCCCUAAACUCAUCAAAAUACAAUAUUUUAAAUCUCUUUGACCAUUGACCGAACUUAUGUAGCAUUGAUAAUGCAGAGUUGGAAAAUUACGUGAUUACACGCUUUGACAACGAGUAAAUAAGGUAUUUUAAAUUAAAAAUAUUUAAAUAAUAAUAAUCAAUUUUAAAAAAAUAAUUAAAACCCAUCUUUCUCAACCAUCCCUCUCCCAUCCUACCCCACCCCUCUCUCCUUCGUCUGAACCCCUAAACUCAUCAGAACACAAUAUUUUAAACCCCUUUGACCAUUGACCGAACUUAUGUAGCAUUGAUAAUGUUGAGUUGGAAAAUUACGUGAUUACACACGUUUGACAGAGUAAAUAAGAUAUUUUACAUUAAAAAUAUUUAAAUAAUAAUAAUCAAUUUAAAAAGGAUAAUUAAAAAUGCAUCUUCCUCAACCAUCCCUCUCCCACACCACCCUACCCCUCUCUCCUCCGUCCGAACCCCUAAACUCAUCAGAACACAAUAUUUUAAACGCCCUUGACCAUUGACCGAACUUAUGUAGCAUUGAUAAUGUUGAGUUGGAUAAUUAUGUGAUUACACGCGUUGUCAGCGAGUAAUAAGGUAUUUUACAUUAAAAUUAUUUAAAUAAUAAUAAUCAAUUUUAAAAAAUAAUAAUUAAAAACCCAUCUUCCUCAACCAUCCCUCUCCCACCCCACCCCUCUCUCCUCCUAUUUGUUUUUUUUUUUCUAAAAAAAAUUUUGGGCUUUGCCCGAGGAGAUGUAUGGGGUGCAAUUGUCUCUCUUUCAAGUUUAUUAAUAAAAAAAAAUACCACAAUUGUUUUAAAAAAAAAAAAAAAACACCACCCCUCUAUCCUCCGUACCCCCCCCCCUCCCCGCCUCUCCUCUUCUUCUUCUUCUCUUGGAAUUUCAUCCACCACACUCACUCUCCUUCAUCCACCUCCUUCUUAACCCACACUUCUUUUUCAUUACAAAUCAACCGUCCACCCUAACCACUUAGUCUAAAAGUCUUUUAGAUUCUAGCUUUUUAGUCUAAAAGUAUUGAGAUAUUAUUAGUUUUAUUUGGCAUCAAAAAAGAGGUCUAAGUAUGGAUUAACACGAAAGAUAAUGGUGGAUAUUGAAAAAUUAAAACUCCAUUGAUAAGUUAGAGAAAGCUUGAAAUUUAUAAGAUAUAUUAGAACUAUAUAAAAAAAAAUAUCACAUAUACCAAUCAAUUGUGUAUACUACAAACAAUUAUACUUCUCUUUCAAAAUUUAGUUACUCAAUAUUACUUGCAAGUUUUAGUAGCAUCUAUAUCAUUUAAUUUUUUUGUACUAAUUAACACAGGACACACAUGCAACGCACGUGCCUAGAGACUAGUUUAUAUAUGUACAUAAACUUAGAAAAUAUAUCCAAUAUAUACAUCUUAAUUUUUUGUCGAGGGGGUUCGGGUGAACACUCUCCCUCCCUUGAUUGGCUCAUUGAUACUAUUAUUGUUAGUGCAAGAGGAAACUGCUAGGGAAGUUGCCUCUGAUAUAUGUUGGAGCAGAUGGGAUAUAAGAUUUUGAUUUGAUGGGUUCAAUUUUUAGGUUCUUAUCAUUGAGCCCGUUAUACUUUGAAAUUAUGGGUUCAUAUUCUAUUAUUAAUUAAAAUUUUAGUGAUUUUUCACAUAUACUUUUAUGAUCUGUGUCGAAAAUGCAAAUCUUAUACUUAUAUUCGCCAUCCGCCCUGUGUAACUGAACAUAUUACUGUUUGUCUUCCAUGUAACAGUGAUCCUAAAACCAUUCCUUAUUUAUGAUCUGUAACUAUGGUCGUUAUCUGCUAAUAGCUUCGGAUGUUCUUGUCCUCUAGGCUAGUUCUUGGACCUGCAUUAUAAAUUCACUACUACUAUAUCUUUCUUUCUUAUUGCAUUUGGGAUUUGCAGAUUGCUCUUUGUUAUCAAAACAUUGCACAAAUCUCUCAUGUGGUCAUUCACAUAUAACCCCAUUAUUUCAUAUUCUAUAUAAGAAUUAUGUAAUCAAAAAUAAUUUAGCAUCUUAUUUGUAGAUUUUGUUCUGUUAUUGUAACAUAACAAAACUACCUCAUUUGAAUUUCUUGAAAACGGAUGCAUGUAUUGAAUUCUUUCAUGCCACACAUAUUUCUUUAAAUUAUUCCAAACAUAAGUACAACAACAACAACAUAAGUAGUGAUGAAAAAACAAAGUGAACAUAAAAUUGCUAAAGAAACAACUAAGAAAAAGUAAGGGUUGAAUCCAUCUAAUGGAAUCCUGGAGGCCACCUCUUGAUGCUAAUACAAAGCGCUUUCAAUGGUGAUGAAAGAGGAUUAUGGCCAAGAGUGACAAAGAAAUAGUGUAAUCGGAUUUAACUAACCCUAAAGCUAGCUCAUCUCUGUACAAUCUCUUGUAGGGCCCUAUUCAGGUGUGCCACAAUUAUGUUAGCAGCUAUAUAUCUCAUCUUUCUUCAAUUGUGCCUGACAUUGUUUCAUGAACUGGAGUUCCAGGUUCUGUUGUAGAGAACCCUUCAGAAGCAGGGGAUUCUCCUAGGCCAUCGGAGAUUCCGAUUUCUGGGCUUUCCAAAGGUAGGUUGGGCGAUAAUUCAAUAGAAGCAUCACUUUCUGCAAACACUGUAGCCGUUAGGCUUUCAUUCCCUUCAGAUGGCUUUUUUGACAUAGAAUUAGAGUCGUCUCUCUUUAAAUCAAAGACUUUUGCUAUUGCACAAAGCUUUUUUCCUAUUGAAUCAUCAGUGACUAAGAUUUCUCUAUUCUGAUAAAGGAAGAUGAGGAAGAAUAGGAGAAGAGAGGAGCCUGCUGACACACCAUCUUGCUUUGGACAAUCUGUUUCAAUAUCUUUCUGUGGACAAUCUGUUUCAUUCCCAAACCAUUUCUGAAUUAUGUUAUUCAUAGUCUCUCCCUCUAUCACCUUCAAGACUGCUCUUGAGACGUCAGGUACCAAAGGAGAUCCUUUUGGAAAUGCCUGCAACAAGUUGUGGGAAAAUUAAAGAUUAGAUCAUUGAGUAAACCACUAACCACUCUAAAACAAAUGUUAACACUUGCUGAAACAUCAGUUAAGUACAACAAUCUUACAAAUCCAAAGCCGGCAGCCUUGUAUGUCGGACCAACCAUAAUAUACUUCCUGCAGUAUUUGUUCAGCAAGAGUCUGAGAUAAGGUAGUUCAUCAACAAUUGCACCAACACCUCCAUUUUUACUACCUCUUGAGAGUGCAUCAUUAUACUCUUCCAAUGUGCUGUAACUCCUAAAUUUGGAGCUGUCAAAUUUCAUGCGUGUCAAGACGUCUUUGACAAAGGAACCUUUUUUAUCAGCACAAAUCUUGAUAAGUUACUUGUUAUCUUCUCUUCUGCAACAACCAGUCAUAUAUAGGAUUUGUUGAGAAACAAGGAGAAAUCUUAAACUUUUGGUCUAUAAUUUGAUUUGAGUUAGAGACUUACUAUGAGCAAAAACGAGAGUUGAGAAGGAAAACCAAAAUAUUAUCCCAACUUGCUUGCGUUUGGGUCCUCGAAAAUCUUUGUUUACACGAUGUUCGAGUACCCAAACCACAAAACCAAUGAAGACGAAGAAUGCUCCGGUUGCUAUCCACAGCUCGGCCUUUAAAGGUUUCAAGAAGAUCCAAGCGUUCUUCCUAUCAUCAUUCCUUAAAGGCACAACUGCAGAAAUACCCGACUCUGAAUAAGGUAAUGUGAAAUCUACAUACUCAGAUCGGCUUGCUAAAAUGGUAACAUCACCUACAACUGCAUCAUAUUCCUGGUUCAAGCAAACAUUGAUUAUUUAAGUAUUUAUUGUUGGUCGCUAAAGCAGAACAUAGAUAAGAAGUCCAAAAAAGGAGCAUGUAAGUGAGUUAUUCAGCUGAAGAGGUUAAUUUUACCUUAGAAGUGAUCUUCUGAACAAGAUCAUCAUAGUUUUAAGAAGUAGGGCUAUGUGCUAUUGGAAAUAGAAUAAAUUCGUAGGGGACAGCAUAUGGCAAAGAUAGGAUGACUUCUUUGAAGACAUCUGGAACAAAACCAGUUACAAUUACUUCUUGUGUCGUUGGAUUUGUUUCCACUUGAAUGAAUUGCUCCAGCCCGUCAGGAACUCCGACCCUUAACUUCUUCCCACUUGUGGGUAUUUCCCAGCCUCUCGGAACAAUAGUAGAUUCACCAGGCCAAAUGAUGACCCCUAGUUGCUUAUUAUUAGUUUUAGCUGUUUUACCAUUCAUCUUGAGUUUAUGCGAAAUGCCAUCCUUCUCUGUCCAGAAUCCAACGAUUUUCUCUCCUUUCCCAAUUAUAUUCACAAUCUGAUAUGGGGACGGCUGCAGUUCUCUAUCAACGAUACGGAAAUCACCACUUAGUCCUGGUUUUAGCUCUGUGUUUUGCAUAGAGUCAAUGAGCAGAGAUCCCACUUCUGAGGUUCCAAGUGCAUCUAGGUCUGUUAAGUUCUCUCUAGUGUCUGGUUCUUAAUUUUGGGAUAGCAGUAGUGCCCACUUUCUCUACUGCUUCUGCUAAUAAGGUGAUGCUAUCAUAUGCCAUAGCCCGAAAACAUUGAGUUCUACUUGGUCCAUGUCUGGAUAUUCUUGACGAAAUCUCUUUCUCCAUCUCUUGGUGAACAUGUCAAGCGCAUUUGGAGUCCAGAAAACUCGUUAGCACAUCUGUGAUGAUCCAUGCAUAUCCACUGCUCAUCAUCCCAGCUUCUUUGGCCUUGAGGAAAAGGCGUGAGGCAAGAUAUGGUUGUAAGUGCACAAUGAACACUGUGGUUUGCUUUGUAUUCAAAUUGUGUAACUCCUUGAGGAUUUGAUCAUCACUGGCUGAAGGAGAAAUAGCACUUUUAUAGGGGACUAAAGUGUUGAUUUCCAGUAAGGCAUCAGUCAGAUGUGGAACUAUCCCAGUUCCAAUGGAGCUAUCCUCGUGGAUGAUUACAACCUUCGUCCAAUUAUAGUUUUUAACAAUUGCUGCAAUGGCUUUAGUCUGGCUGGAAGAAGGAAGUGCUCCUCUGAUGAAGAAGGGAUUUUCCUUGACUGUAAGUAAAGGACUUGUUGCUGGAGAAAUGAUAGGGACUUUUGUUCUGUUCCCUAUGUCAAUCACAAAAUCAGUUUGUGUAGACAUUUGUGGCCCAAAGAUAGCUUGUACUUGGACAUCCUUUAGCAAGUAUAUGGCUGCGUAUACACAAUCAGACUAUAAGAAAUCGUUCCAAAGUGAAAAACAGACGAAAAGAGAGAAUGAUAUGCUAGUUUAACAGAAGUAAAUCAUGGAUCAGAAUAUACCAGCGGAUGCUGCUUCAACAUCAUCUUUCUUUGAAUCCCUGAUAUGAGGAACUAUCCUUAUGGCACCGCGACUAGUGUUGGCAUGAUAAUCUGCAAGAGCUAGUAAGAUAGAUAUGUGCAUUACUUUUCCCACAUCUGUUUCCAGAUCAAGAAUUAUGCCCACAUCCACCUUUACAGCACUAGUGUUAUUAUCUUCACCUCUUAUUCCAAUUACAUAGUGGCAAAAGCUAAUGAUGGAAACAAGUUGAAUGAAAAUAAUUAGGAAUUUGCAUCUUGGAUUAUGCAUUUGAAAAACUCUUGUAGAAAGUAAUAUGAGUGUUGGGCAAGAAGCAGUUGUGCUUGUGCAAGAUUUAUAACCACCAUUCAGAGAUGUGUUUAAAGGUAUCUUAACUAUAACUUUUCUACAAUUAAAUGAGAGCAAACCUCAUAACUGCAGAAAGAAAAGUCAAAGUUUUCAAAGAAUUACAAAUGGUUUAAAAUAUACUAGUUUGAUUAUUAAAGAAAGAGUACUUUGCACACUUGUUAGACCACAAGCUAGUAAAGCCUCCUCAGUUUUGACCAAAUCAAUAAAUGACUAAAUGAACAUAGUGACAAAAUUGAUUUGUACUCAUUCUCCCAAUACCCAAAGAAGUUUUUGUAUUCAUUGGAUGACUAUCUAGAGGCUACUAAAAGGACUUCCCAUAUUUUGGCUAAGUCAUGUUGAAAGUUGAGUGCUAACUCAGUUACAAAUAAGUAGAAGAGGUCAGUUUCUAUGACUUGGACAUUGGAAAAGGGCAGCUAUGACUAGUAAUCUUUAGUUUACUUAGACGGUUUCAGUUUAGAAUUGGUCAGUAGUAUAAAACUUUAUGGUGGUAGAGGCACAACUUGUAGGGUUGUUCCGGGUUAUCGUUAAUUAAAAAAUCAAAUCAAACUUGUAGGGUUGUUUGGUUAGGUUUUAAAUUUUGAAAAUCAAUACUAUUUGGUUUGGUUUGGUUUUAAAACUGUAAAAAUAAUCAAAUUGAACGUGUAAUUAUAAUAAUUCUAGUAUUGCUUGAUUGAAUCCACAGUAACUUUCAUGUGUAUUGUUCAUGUACUAGGUGUCUGUGUUUAUAUAUAUGUCUUCAAAAAAAUUAUUACUUCCAAAACAAAAAAACAAAAAAAUUGAACCAAACCGACAAUUAUUUUUUUCAUUUGGUUUUAGAAUUUAGAAACCGACUAAAUUGAUCUGGCUUUGAUUUUAGCCAAUAAUCAAUCCAAAUUGAACCAUGAACACCUCUAGGCACAAAUAUAACUUGGUAUGUGAAGAAUUACUAUAAUACCUUUCCUUUAACUUUUUUUUUUUAAAAAAAAAUCUCCAUCCUCCAUUUUUUUCCCUUCACUUUUAAAAAAAAAAAAAAAAACCUCUAUUGGGAAAUUUUUCAAAUCAGUUUUUUUUACUCAUGAGCUCUAUUCCUUUCCCUUUUAUAUUUUUUAUAAUAUAAAAUAUAAGAUAAAAUAAAGAAUUUUUUUAAAAAGAAAUGAGAAAAAAAAUGAUGAAGAUGAGGGGUGAGGAGCUAAAGGAGAGAAGAAAGAUAGAACAUAAGAUGAGAAAGGUAGGGUCCCCAUAUUUUCUUUAUCAAAAAGUAACUUCUUACCUACCAAAGUCAUAUUUAUGCCUCUACCACCACAAAUUUUUUCGUAUUAACUUGCUUGCAAGUUGCAAAACCAAACAAAGCAAGCAUACCCAAAUGGAGAUGGAAUCUUGGAAUGAGGAUGGUUGGGUAUACAUGUAGGUGUCAAUGUCAUUGUCUCAAUAUAUAUAUAUAUAUAUACUCCCUCCGUCCCAAUUUAUGUGGCACCCUUUUUUUUUAGUCUGUUCCAAAAAACAAUGUCAUCUUACUAUAAUUAGAAACAAGGGAAAAGACUCAAAUAUGCUAUUGAAAUUUGAGAAAAGACUCAUUUAUGUCAUCCGUUAAAAGUUUGGUUCAUCUAUGUCAUUUUCGUUUGAGAAAAAACUCAUCCAUACCAUUAGUUGUUAACUAAAAAUAAUUUUGGUUUUGUAAGAUCAUUUUAUACACAUGGUCAAUUAUGAUUCGGCCAUGUCAUCAAUUAAAUCAUUUCUAUAGAAGAGAAAAUGUUCAAAUAUGUCAUCGAACUUUGAGAAAAGACUCAUUUAUGACAUCCGUUAAAAGUUUGUCUCAUCUAUGCUAUUUCAGUUAAUAAAUAAUGGCAUGAAUGAGGUUUUUCUCAAAUGAAAAUGGCAUAGAUGAGCCAAUUUUUUAACGAAUGACAUAUAUGACAUUUCUCAAAGUUCGAUGGCAUAUUUGAGUUUUUUCCCUAUAAACAAUUUCACUUAAAAUUUACUGUUAUCCUUAAUGAAAUUAUUUACAAACACACAAAUAUCUAAGGAUUGUUUUAGAUCACAAGUUUAAAAGUCUUUUUAAAAUAUAUAUAUAUAUAUAUAUAUAUAUUGUGUCAAGUUAAACAGUGCCACAUAAAAUGAGACAGAGAGAGUAAUUGUUAAUGUAAGAGGAAGCUGCUCGGGAAGUUACGUGUAUGAUGUUGAAGUUAUUUGACAUGCAGUUGAGGUGAUCCUAUAAUCUUCCAUUAUUUAUGACUAGUAAAAUCACUGAAUUUAUAAAAUAAUACUUAAAACAUAUGAGUCAUUAAAACUAAAACACUAUAUUAUCUUACAUAUAAGAUUACAUAUAACAAACAUUAAUAAUGUAAGUAAUUUCUUUUUUGCAUAUGUUAACAAAUUUUUGAAUUUCUUCCUGAGACAUAUAUCACAAUUGUAAAAUCUAUACAACUUAAAUGUGUUCUUGUUCUUACGAAACGCCUUUGUGUAUAUAUAUUCUUAUUUAUUCUCUCUUUUUUCCUUUUAAUUGAUGAUUAAAUAACCAUUAAUUUAUUAUUUCCUAAAUAAUUCAUUUAUUAGAUGUUCUUGAGUUAUGUGAUAAUGACAAAUAAUAGUAUAGAUCUUUAAGGAAUUUUUUUACUGUACCUUCAACAAUUUCAUGAUCAGUAGAGAAAACUUGCAUGAAUACUCAAUUAACAUGUGUUGUUUAAUCUGUACUAACAAAUACAAUUAACGUGUGUUGUUUAAUCUGUACUAACAAAUACUUAUAACAAUAACUUUGCAGAAACAUAAACACAAGUUUAAAACAUGUACUCAAAAACAAUAAUUAAUAACAUAAGCAUAAAUUAAUGACUGUAAAAAAAUAUACCAGGAUCUGUAAUAAUAGGAUGAAACAUAAAGGAAAAAAUUGUACACGAAUAUUUAAUUGUGCAGGUUAAGAAGAAGUUCAAAAUUUUCGUUUUUUUAAAAUGAGAGGAAAUCACUCUAUUUAUAGCUAGACAACAAAGGGUAGUGUGAGCAAAUGUUUAUUGUGUCUUAUCGGAAAGGUCACAACUCUUUGGAAAAGUUACAAACCCUUUGGAAAGGUCAUAACCUUUCAUAAAAGACACAACUUUUCAUAAAAGUCGCAACUCUACAUAGAAGUUACAACUUUUCAUAAAAGUCGCAACUGUUCAUAUAAGUCGCAAUUUUUCAUAAAAGUCACAACUUUUCAUUAAAGUCGCAAAUUUUUAUAAAAGGGGAAGGAUAGUUUUGUAAAUAUAUUAAUUAAAAAAGGAAUCCUGGUUUGUGAUGGCGCCACGUAGGCAGGCCUAGGGUUCUCUUUUAUAUAUAUACUAGUUUCUGAACACGUGCGUUGCACGUGUUUCAAACAAGUAGUAUACACGAUAAAAGUUAUAUUAAAACCAUAGUGUAAUCAAUAACGAAAAAAAGGUACAAACUAAAAUUGAUGAACGUAACACUCAUCCAAUUUGAAUGACUUAUUCGUUUAGCGAUAAAUAAUUAAUUACUAUCAGAACUACAAAAUUGAAUAAUUAUAUUUAGUUAGAUAAGUAAAAUGUAUAAAAUGAGUCACAUUUUAAUGUUAUUAGGUGCAAAUAUUUUAUUUAUAAAGAAGUAUUAGUAUUAAAUAUUUGCACCUAAUAACAUUAAGUAUUAAAUUUCAAGACAUAAUAUUUGAAUAAUGAAUUGUGAUGCUCAUACCAAAUAGCAAAACAAUGAAUCUAGAAAAUACUUUUAAAACAAAAAAACUUAGAUAUGAUAUUUAAAAUAUUUAAAACUUCUUGUUAAAAUUUACAAAAACGCAAAUAAUAUAUGCUUAUUAAGAAUUUAAAACUAAUUGUUAUAAUCUUAACAAUUGUGCAUGGAAACAAAAGCACCCAAAACAAAUGAAAUUCCAAUACAUGUGAAAUCAAAGUAUUGUAAUUCUAAGUAACUAAAUAUGCCAUGCAUACUUCUCAUCUCUUCUUUUAUGCAAACUAUUAGAAGGCAUAAAAAAACAAUGAAAAUCGAAGAUAAAAUAAUUUGCAUUCAAUCUUAAAAAGUUACAAAGAGGAGAUGGGGAAAAUUAGUAAAACUCAUUUAACCUUUAUAUAAUGUUUUUCCCAGUCCUUUGAAAUUUCAUUUCAUUUAUUUACUAAUGAAUUGAUUUACUAAUUAAUAUUCAAUUCAACUUUUCAACUUCUUUGUACUUACUGUAGCAAUGAAAGGUUGGCUAUUGGUUAACGUAACAAUUAAAUAAUUGAACCACCAAUGUUUCAUAUAAAGUUAUGGUUAUUAUAAGUAUUAAAUGCAAACAUUUUCUUUUUAUUGUAUGAAAUGCGUGUAUUUGUAUUUUUAUAUUAUAAACUUUUUGAAAUAAUAGUUGCUUGAAGGUUAAAAUGAUGUUUAACUUUUAAUAGGCGAUUUGGUAAUUCAAUUUUUCAUUUGGAAAGUUUCUACUUGAUAUAAUAUGAUAAUGAUCAAAAAUUUAAUAUAAAAUGAAUAAAGCAAAGAAUAAACAGGGAAAGAAAGAAAGAUGAUUGUCAUCAAUCCCUAUUAAAUCAUUGAAUUAAGUGUGAUAAUUAAAGUAUUAUUACUCCACUUUCAAAUCAUCCGUUCAAUUCAUGUUAUUGAAAACUAAUUUAAUUGAAGAUUUAUUUUAAUUAUGGUGUAAAUAAAAAUUAGUUUAUAAAAAAUGAUUUAGUAUAAGGGCAAAAUGGUAAAUCAACUUUGAAGACAAGAGCUUCCCACUUUUAAUAAUACUAGAAGAAAAAUGUGAAUUACAUGGAGAUUUUUUUCUUGGAAUUAGUAUCAAAAUUCGCAGAUAACUUAUUUCCUGCAAAUUUUCAUAUUAAUCCCCAGGAAAAUCCCCAUGUAAUUCACCAUUUUCUUGUAGUGUUGUACCAAAUUAUAAUAAAAUAACAGUAAAGAAAAUAGGUUGUACCCUGCUUCUUGCACUUAACUUUAUCCCACGAACAAUAGACAGAAAGGUGUCAUAUAAUCCUUACAUAUCACUAUCAAACCAAAUUCUCCCAACUGACAUAUUCUCCCACAACAAUAUUAUAUUCCCUCAAGUCCAAUUUUCAUCAGUGACUCCGUUUCUAAUGUUUUCCAAUUCACUUUUUCGACCUCCUUUUCACUAUUCAUUAUAUAAUAAUUGAUAUGAAACAACCCACAAUGUAAACAAGAUUUAAGAGACGUGAUUGAUUUACUUGAGUCGCUCACGUUCUUCUUUCGUUCACGCCGCUUUCUGUUAUUCUUCUUUUCCGUUCUUUCCCUUUUCUUCUACAGAUUAUUUUCACCCUAAUUAUUAUAUGACUAAUUAUAAGAGUGGUGGAAUUGGCUCACUACUAGUUUUAAUGCUAUCUUCUUUAACCACCAACUACAUUAAUUAUUAAAACUACCCCACUAAUUUCAUAAUGUAAUUACGAAUAGUCCAAAAUACCCAUUUAGAAUCUAUCGAACGAGUCUUUUAUGAAAUAAAAAGAUCUAGUACUCAAAACGACUAAAUGGGUCGUUACACAAUGUAACUCUUUAACUUUCAAAAUGAUAGGAGGUGAAAAGGUGAAAACAUUUUCUUUUUCAAUGAAUACAUUCAUUAUACUAAUAAUUCACCAUUUAAUAAACUUCUACCUAAAAAUGUUUUUUAGCAUAAAACAUGUAGGAAGUAAUUUUAAACAGUAAAAGGUAAAGGGUUAAUUAGUUUCUCAUUUAAUUAAUUCGAUUCAUUUAUUAGUAUAGGUAAAUUUAUUAUUUAGUACCAAGUAGUAUAAGAAUAGUAUUAAGAUGAAGGGUAAAAAUGUAAUUUGAUUUUUUAGGAAUAUUUUGUAAUUCAAUUUUAUAAGUUUUGGGGCUUCCCACUUAAUAAUUAUUAUUUAUAAUAAUAAAAAAAAUUUGACUUAACACCUUUCCAUUAUUAUUAUAGAUUAUAGAUGAUAAAUAUUAAUAAAUUAGAUAUUUAAUUAGGAAUUAAUCUUAGGAAGUCUAAAAGUCAUUUAACAUUUUUAAUUUAAAACUUAUACAAUCAAAUAUUUAAAUAUUUUAUAACAAUUUAAUUAAUAGAAGGGGUAAAACUGUAAUUCAACUUUCAACUUUUUUUGUUCAUGCUUAUAGUAAUAUAUAUGAUAUGAUAUAUAUAUAUAUGAUUAUUUACUGUGGUCGUUUUCUGAUAUGAUCACAAUAAGAUAUAACCGUCUAUUAUCUUUUAAACUUGUUUUUCUUUUUAGUUUGCAAUAUAUUUUGGAUUGGUAACAUUAGUAGUAUUAAAUUGUUAACAGCACUAGUUUGCAAUAUUUUUGGUUUCUGCAAACAUUAUUAGCACAUAUUGAAAGAGAUAUAUAUGAUAUGGUUUCAUUGAAUUAUAUCCUCUACAUAAGCAGUGAAGACAAAACAAAGUACUAAUGUUAUUUAAAUUGUCUCUAAAAUUUUGAUGAUUUAAUAAACUUUGAGAUCUAAAGAACGACCAGAUUCCAAGAGAGAUUGAGAGUUCUGUUUAUGAAAAAAACAGCGGUCUAAAAGCAGCAACACCUGCUGUGGUUGGUGCACGUAUUUUGCAGCAGACAUUCAGCCAAUGGCAGGGCAUUGCUUCAAGAGUUUGGGUCCAUCCUAUAAUACACCUCUUUGACAUUGACACAAACUCAAGUUUUUGCAAUAUAAAAAUUCAUAACAGCAAAAGUCAUUCUCUCAAGGAAAUAUUUCUCGAUAAAUGAUAGAGUUAUCAUCGUUCUUAGGUGUUUUUAGGGCUUAUAUUUCUGUGCUUAUACUUGUAAGAUUUAUUCCUACGUUAUAAAGGAAUCAGAUCAUUUGAAGUUUUUUCUGAGUAUUCCGAGUUAUAGCUAGAGUUAGUUAUGUUGUAUUCUUGAAUUCAAGAUCAACUAUAGCUAGUUGAUUUAGUGGGUCAUAGAGUUAUUGCUUAGUUUUUGAGUAACAGAGUUGUUACUAUGAGGGGAAGGGAUUAAGAGUUUAAUUCCUAGGCUACAAGGGUUUGUAAUAUGAAGCUUUGCACUUUUGAUGAUAAUGGAGUUGGGUUAAAUCCUGUGAGACAGACCGUGGUUUUUCCUCCCUUGAACAAGGGGCAUUCCACGUAAAACUCUUGUAUUUGUUUUACUUUGUGUUAUUUAUUUUCCACAAUUUUUCUUUCAAGGGACUUGGUCCAUUGACCAUUAGUGGACGCAUACAUUCUAUGAGUAAUAAUAAGAUUGAAAAAGAAACCACUAAGAAAAAGUAAGGGUUAAAUCCAUCAAAUGGAAUCCUGGAGCCACCUCUUGAUGCUAAUAUUCUGGCCAAGAUCAGUAACAAAGAUAUAAUGUAAUCUGGUUUAACUAACCCUAAAGCUAGCUCAUCUCUGUGCAAUCUCAUAUAGGGCCCUAUUCAGGUGUGUCACAAUUAUGGUAGUAGCUAUAUGUGUCAUCUUUCUUCAAUUGUGUCUGUAAUGGUUUCAUGAACUGGAGUUCCAGGUUCUGUUGUAGAGAACCCUUCAGCAGCAGGGGAUACUCCUAGUCCGUCGGAAAUUCUGAUUUCUGGGAUUUGCGAAGGAAGGUCAGGCAAUAUCUCAGGAGAAGCUUCACUUGCUGCGAGCAGUGUAGGUGCAUUGCUUCCAUUGCUUUCAGAUGGCUCUUCUGACAUAGAAUUAGAGCUGUCUUUCUCUUCAUCAAAGACUUUUGCAAUUGCAGUAAGCUUUUGCCAUAUUGAAUCAUCAGUGGCUAAGAUUUCUCUAUUCUGAUAAAGGAGGAUGAGGAAGAAUAGGAGAAGAGCGGAGCCUGCUGAAACACCAGCUAUGAGGAAAAGUCCCUUAAAACUAUCUAACGUGAGGCUAUCAGAUGUUAUUGCCGUUUCAUCUUUCUGUGGACAAUCUGUUUCAUUCCCAAACCAUUUCUGUAUUAUGUUAUUCAUAAACUCUCCCUCCAUCACCUUCAAGACUGCUCUUGAGACGUCAGGUACCAAAGGAGAUCCUUUUGGAAAUGCCUGCAAUAAAAGAUUAGAUGAUUGAGUAAACAACAAAUCAUUCUAAAUAUAUAUGUUAACAGUGUCUGAAACAUCAGUGGAGUGUACAAUCUUACAAACCCAAAGCCGGCAGCCUUGUAUGUCUGGCCGACCAUAAUAUACUUCCUGCAGUACUUGUUGAGGAAGAGUCUGAGAUAAGGUAGUUCAUCAACAAUUGCACCUACACCUCCAAUUUUUUGCUUCCUCUUGAGAGUGCAUCAUUAUACUCUUCCAAUGUGCUAUAAUUUCUGAACUUGGAGCUGUCAAAUUUCAUGUGCUUUAUGAAGACGUCUUUGACAAAGGAACCUUCUUGGUACCCAACAUAUUCUCCAUUCUUGAUGAGAUCAUUGAGGUCUGUUAUAGUAGGUUGGAGCUGUUGCAGUGUCAACAUAGAUGUUAAGCUGGCUGUAUAACUUGAUGUCAGCACCAGAACCACAAAAACCCACACAAUCAGCAAAAAUCUUGUUAAGUUACUUGUUACCCUCUCUCCUGCAACAACCAGCCAUAUAUAUGAUUUGUUGAGACACAAGGAAAAAUCCUAUAUCUUUCGUAUAUAAUAAUAUGCUUUGAGUUAGUGUCUUACUAUGAGCAAAAACGAGAGUUGAGAAGGAAAACCAAAAUAUCAUCCCAACUUGGUUGCGUUUGGGUCCUCGGAACUCUUUGUUUACACGAUGUUCGAGUACCCAAACCACAAAACCAAUGAAAACGAAGAAUGCUCCAGUUGUUAUCCAAAGCUCGCUCUUUAGAGGUUUCAAGAAAAUCCAAGCAUCCCUCCUAUCAUCAUCCCUUACCGGCACAACUACAGAAAUACCUGACUCUAUAAAAGGUAAUGUGAAAUCCACAUACUCUGACCGGCUCGCUAAAAUGGUCACAUCACCUACAACUGCAUCAUAGUCCUGGCUCAAGCAAACAUUGAUUAUUCCAGUAUGUAUAGUUGAUUGUAAUAGCAGAAAAUAGAUAUCGAAGUCCCAAAAAGGGCCAUGUUAGUAAGAUAUAGAGCCAAAGAGGUUUAUUGGAACAGAGAUUAUAUAUUACCUGAGAGGUGAUCUUGUGAACAAGAUCAUCAUAGUCUGGAAGAGUGAGGGGAUCUUGUAUUGGAAAUGGAAUAAAUUCGUAAGGGAGAGCAUAUGGCAAAGAUAGGAUGACUUCUUUGAAGACAUCUGCACAGAAACCAGUUGCUGUUACUGCUUGUGUUUUUGAAUCUCUUUCCACUUUAAUGAGUUGCUCCAGCCCUCCUUUGAGAGGAACUCCAACCCUUAACUUCUUCCCACUUGUGGGCAUUUCCCAGCCUCUUGGAACAAUAGUUGAUUCACCAGGCCAAAAAAUGGCUCCUAGUUGCUUAUUAUUACACUUAACUGCUGUUUUACCAUUCAUCUUCAGUUUACACGAAAUGCCAUCCCUCUUCGUCCAAAAUCCAAUGUUUUUCUCUCCUUUCCCAAUUAUAUUCACAAUCUGAUAUGGGAUUGGCUGCAGUUCUCCAUUGAUGAUACGGAAAUCACCACUUAAUCCUUGUUUUAGCACUGUGUUUCGCAUAGAGUCAAUGAGCAGAGAUCCCACUGCUGACGUUCCAAGUGCAUCUAAGUCUGUUAAGUUCUCUCUGGUGUCUGGUUUCUUUAAUUUUGGGAUAGCAGUAGUGCCUACUUUAUCUACUGCUUCUGCUAAUGAGGUGAUGCUAUCGUAUGCCCAUAGCCCAAAAACAUUGAGUUCUAUUUGGUCCAUGUCUGGAUACUCUUGACGGAAUCUCUUUCUCCAUCUCUUUGUGUAGUUGUUAAGCUGAUUUGAUCUUGGAAUGUAAGGUUUUAUACCAAGAACACCUUGCAUUGAUGACUCGAUCACUGAAUGAUCUACCAAGUCCAGAAGACUCGUUAGCACAUCUGUGAUGAUCCAUGCAUAUCCACUGCUCAUCAUCCCUGCUUCUUUGGCCUUGAGAAAAAGGCGGGAGGCAAGAUAUGGACGCAAGUGCACGACGAACACCCUUGUUUGCUUUGUAUUCAUAUUGUAUAACUCCUUGAGAAUCUGAUCAUCAUUGGCUGACGGAGAAAUAACACUUCUAUAGGAGACUAAAGUGCUGAUUUCCAGUAAGGCAUCAGUCAAAUGUGGAACUAUCCCGAACCCAUAGGGGCUAUCCUCAUAGAUGACCACAACCUCCCUCCAAUCAAAGUUUUUAACAAGUGCUGCAAUGGCCUUAGUCUGGCUGGAAGAAGGAAGUGCUGCUCUGAUGAAGAAGGGAUUUUCCUUGACUGUAAGUAAAGGACUUGUUGCUGGAGAAAUGAUUGGGACUUUUACUCUGUUCCCUAAGUCGAUCACAAAAUCAGUUUGUGUAGACAUUUGUGGCCCAAAGAUAGCUUGUACUUGGACAUCCUUUAGCAAGUAUAUGGCUGCACAUACACAAUCAGACAAUAAGAAUUUACCCAAAGUAAGAGUUUAAUAGAAGUGAAUCAUGGAACUGAAUUUACCAGCAGAUGUUGCUUCAACAUCAUCUUUCUUGGAAUCCUUGAUAUGAGGAACUAUCCUUAUGGCACCGCGACUAGCGUUGGCAUGAUAAUCUUCAAGUGCUAGUAAGAUAGAUAUGUGCAUUACUUUUCCCACAUCUGUUUCCAGAUCAAGAAUUAUACCCACAUCCACCUUUACAGCACUAGUGUUAUUAUCUUCACCUCUUAUUCGAACCACAUAGUGGUAAAAGCUAAUGAUGGAGAUAAGUUGAAAUGAAAAGAAUUAGAAAAGUGGCAUCUUGGAUUAUGCAUUUGAAAAAACUCUGGUAGCAAGUAGUCUGAGAGAUGGGCAACAAGCAGUUGUGCUUGUGCAAGAUAACCACACAUUCAGAAUGACAAUUUUCCUAUAAUUAAUAAGACCAAACUCCAUAAAUGAAGAAAGAAAAGUCAAAGAACAAAUGGUUGAAAAUCAAGUAUUCGUUUGAUUAUUGAAAGUGAGGACUUUUCACAUAUGCUACAACCGCACAGCUAGUAAGCAUAUUACCCCUCAGGUUUGACUAAAUAAAAAUUUGACAAAAUUGAUUGGUACUCAUUCCCCAACACCCAAUUACUUUUUGUGUGUACUAUCUAGAGGAUAUAUUCAAGGGAACUUACAUGAAUUCAACUAAUUUAGGAGUUAAUUACUUAAAUACAUUGUAGUUUGCAAUAUUACGUAUUUUACUAGAUUUUGGUAUGUCCAGAUACAUUCAGAUACAUAUAUGUGAGGUUACUUAGGAUCAAAAUUAGGUGUAAUUUGCUCUAGAUGCAUUGUAUCUAAGUGACUUUGCAUGUAUCUGGGAUACAUAACAAAUCUCGCUCGCCUCUCUCCCAUCUCUCACUCUCCUAUGUAUCUGAUAUUCCAUAUACAUGUGAAUCACACCAGAUACAUACACAUAAAUGUAUCUUAUGUGUAUAUAGUGUGAUUCGCAUGUAUCUGGGAUACAUAACAAAUCCCGCUUGCCUCUUUCCUCAUCUCGUUCCCCUAUCUUCCUAUUUUUGUGUAUCUGAUGGCAAAAAUUCAUGUAGCCAAAUGUAUUUUCCUCAAUAUAUGAUAGGAAACUCUUAAUUAGUGAUAGUAUACGAAAUAUUUUAAAAGUAUAGAAUAUAAUAGUAUAUAUGAUAGUGAAGUAUGUCUAAUGAUAUAGUUUUUCUGUAUUGAAAGGACUUCCCAAAUUUUGGCUGAGGCAUAAAAAGUUGACAAAUUUAGCUCAGUUACAAAUUCCACAAUUAAACCAAUAAGUAGAAGAGACCAUUGUUUUCCAACUUGGACAAGGCUAGAUACGACUAGUAAUCUUUAGUUUACGCGUUUUCAGUUACUAGUCUUUGGACACGUGCGUUGCACGUAUAUCCCAUAUUAUAUGGUUGCAUAAUAUAUGUCUAUAGUUACAAAUAUAUGUAUAAAAAAAAAUUGAUUGUGAUAUAAAUUGGAAAACAUGUAUAAGAUAAGAAAUCAAAACAGAUACCCUCAAAUUUCAAACUAUAAGCAUAAUAAGAAUAUGUAUUUCUAAUGAGUUUAAUCAAUCAUACCUUGCAAUAAUCUCUGCAAUUCAUUGAGAAACUUUCAAUCCAUACAUCAACAUUCAAUCGUGUAUAUAUAAAGAAAACUUGAAAUGCAUAACAACAAUUAUAUCUAUAUUUUUUAAAACACUAUAAAGUCAUUUUUUCUUUUUGCAUUAUAAUAUGGAUUGCACACAAUUUCUAUUAAAAAAAAGAAAGACAAAAUUAGGAAAAAUCGUAUCAAUAAAUUGGAAUGAAAAAUGUAAAAUUGUAAUAAGAGGAAGAGAAGAAAAAUACAGUAGAAUAUAUUACCUAACCAUGAAUAAGGAAGUAUGUUGAGUAAAAGAAGAGUAAUGCAAAAGUGUGAACUGAUAUAUGGAGGAAAUUGACAAAUAUAAUAAUCUAUAUUGAAUAAUGAAAAACAACUCUUCAAUUUCUGCAAAAAUUUUAUAACUACGAGCUCAAAAUAAUAUAAAUUUAUUAAUUUAAUAAAUGACAUAAAUAAAUAAAUAACAUAUAUUGUGUGUAUGUGUAGUUAAUGGGGUAGUGAAAAAGACUCUUUCUGAAAUUAUUUUUAUCUCUUUAAAGUAAUUUUGAACUUUUGAUAUUAGUGCUAUAGAAAAUCAUAUAAAGUCAUAAGCCACUGCAAGUUUUUAUAGUAAUUAUCUUAUUAAAUUAUAUACCUAUUAUUAUUUUUAAUUAUUUAUAAUCAUUCCGAAAAUGUAUAAAUUAAUUUUGAAAAGCUUGUAAAAUGAGAAAUUAUUAUUUCUUAUCAUUAUUUUAGCUAUUAUUAACAUUUAGUAUGACAACAUUUUAAAAAAGCAGCUUCCUUUAAAUAUUAAUUGUUUCUAAAUUAACAUAGCCAAGAAUUUAAAAUGUUGUGACGUUUUGUUUAUCUAAACACGCAGAAUUUUGUUUUUGAACCUGGAACAUGUAAUUAAGCCUUGGGUGAAUUAUAAUUUUAUUUUUACUAUUUAAUUAAUUAAAUAAUUUGUAACAUUUUAAUAUAAUGAAGGGGUAAAAUGGUAACUCAACUUUAAAGGUUGGAGCUUCCCACUUUUAGUAAUAUAUGAUAAAUUGGUCAGUAGUAGUAACCUAGUUUAAUUUGAUAUAAUAACAUUCAUGACAAAAUAAAUUAAAUAUGGCUAAUUAAGAAAAUAUAAUUAAAUAUGAUUAUCUUUAAUGUUAUUUAAAUUUGUAGGCGAUUUUUUUUGUAUUUUAAAAUUAAAAAAAGGCCAAAAAACCCACAAAAAGAGAUAAAUAGGAUUGAAGCCCUUAGAGAGCGUCACCUCACCGUUUUCAUAUUCAACUUUAUUAUUAUAUAUGGAUUUAGAUUUUUGCACAACCUUAAAUUUAAGGACACAUUUAGAUAUUAUAUCAAACAUUCAUUUAUUUGAAGUUGAAAUUACAUUUUACAUGAAAAUUGGAUAUUCCAUAUUCACAUUGAGUAUGAAUCUUUUUGUUUUUUUUACAAAAUUCAAAAUAAAAAAAUACAAAACAUAAACUUAUAGAUCAAAUUUUACAUUUGACAUUUGAAAGUUUUACUUUUCAUUAAACGUUUUGUUAUAGAAUUUGGAAUCGCCCUUUGAAAUUAGUAUUUAUAAAUGAAAAUAUUGAUCUAGUCCUGUUGAAAUUGUGUCUGGCCUAGUACUUUUUCUUAUUAGAGUGAUUAUUGAAUUAGGUUUAAUAUCAAUUUUCUUAAUUAGUUUUGUCAAUUGGCAGUGCUAAGAAGAUGGGAAUUUACGUUAUAUUAAAUUAUCUUUACAUUAAUAAAAAAAGAAAUUGUUGUUAGUAUUAUUUGUAAUAUAAUUAAACAAAAAUAACAAUGGGAAGAAAAUAAUAAGUAAAGAUUACACGUUGUAUUAAAAUAAUAAGUAUUAAAAAUUAUGAUAAAUUUUAUAAUAGUCAUAACAGGAAUUUACGCAAUAAUUACUAUAUUAGAAUACUAGAAAAAUUGAUAAGUUCCUCGACAUCUAAUCAUUGAUUAAAAUUUAAAUUAUUAUUUUCUUCUGCGAAAGUUUAAGAGAUUAAAUUAAUGUUUUAAAAAAUAAUAUUAAUUAUUUUCAAUGAUUAAUAAGAAAAUGUAUAUAGCAAGUACAUGUAUUAUUAUUACAUUAUUUAUAUCCACUCUAUAUUAAAUCAUUUUUCUAUUAUAGUUUGACGCAAAUUUCAGAAUGUAAAGAAUGUUUUGGAUUCGAAAAAUAAAUAUUCAAAAUAUACUAACAUGUCAUUUAAUCUUAUGAUAUUUUACAUUUCAUGUGAAAAAAAAUUAAAUAUUAAUUUUUUAAUAUGAAAAAUAUUAAUUUAUUAAUACAACAUAAAAGUAAUAAAGGACAAUAUAUAAAAAUAUUUGAAGUAUUUGAUAUUUUAUUAAAUUAAAAUAAUUCUAAAUUAAUAUAUAGCCGCGCAACGCGCGGGUACGUAUACUAGUGAAGAACAAUAAUAAAGAAGAAGACAAUUGAGUUAAUAUUUAUUUUUUCCAAGUUUAAUUUAACACAUGACCAGUUUUUAUUGGUCAGUGCUGUCAAAAAGUUGCACCCACGCGCCUAAAAUAGGUGAAAUCACGGACUCAGCCACGUAGGCCAAAAAGUGGUAAACAAUUAACUAAAAAAUAAGUUCAGGGGGGUAAUAGGACUUUAGUAAAGGUUAGGUGUGUCUCAGGGAUUUUGGGCAUAGGCUGGGGGGGUACUUAUGCAUUUUCCCUUAUGUUAAAUAUACCAAAAUGUUUUUUAAUCUUAUGACUUUAAACAUGUCACGUGAAAAACUGAAAUUAAAGUGUUGCCAAAAAAAGAAGGGUCAUUUUUUUUAAACAGACUAAACAGAAAAGUAGAUCUUUUUAAAACGGAAGGGAAGUAAUUGUUAAUGCAAGAGGAAGCUGCUUGAAAAGUUACGUAUAUGAUGUUGAAGUUGUCUAACAUGCAAUGCUGGUCCUAUAAUCUUUCAUUAUUUAUUAUCCAUGACUAUGGGUGGAUAAUAAUAGUUAUCUGCUAUGAUCAUAUAUACCUAGGGGUGGACAUAUUACUUAGAAAACUUAUGUUAGGUAAUUUUGAUUUCUAAAAAUACUAUAUGGUGUAUGCUAUUUGCAGAUGAUAGUCCUAAUCGACCAGACUCGUAAUAGAGUUAAUGUUAAGCUAGAGAAGAUAAUAAUGGCUCCCUUCUCAAAUAUUUCAUUGGUAGAAAUUUGCCUUCCAGAAUUUCAUAAUUGCAUCUGAUCCUUUCUGAUAACUCAAAGGGCAUCUUAAAUUGGUGCGGAAGUUUAAUUUUGACAUGGAACGCAAAUAUAUGCGGAAAAUUAGUAAUUCAAUAAAUAUUUAAUUAUGAAUGCAUAUUACAAAAGUGCAAGGAAUUCAAUUGUAAGAUGUUGAAGGUUAAACCCAUAAAUUCUAAAUACUAGAGACGCCUCUUAAUGCAAAUAUAAUAUGGUUUAACUAUUUUAAACCUGGCUCAUCUCUCUUAAGUUGUCCCUGUAAUGUUUUCAUGAACUGGAGUUCCAGGUUCUGUUGUAGAGAACCCUUCAAGUGCAGGGGAUGCUCCUAAGCCGUCGGAAAUUCUGAUUUCUGGGCUUUGCAAAGGAAGGUGGGGCAAUAUUUCAGUAGAGGCUUCACUUUCUGCAAACAGCAUAGCUGUUUGGAUUUCAUUGCCUUCAGAUGGCUCUUCUGACAUAGAAUUAGAGUUGUCUCUCUCUUUAUCAAAGGCAUUUGCUAUUGCAGAAAGCUUUUGCCAUACUGAAUCAUCAGUGGCUAAGAUUUCUCUAUUCUGAUAAAGGAAGAUGAGGAAGAAUAGGAGAAGAGCGGAGCCCGCUGAUACACCAGCUAUGAGGAAAAGGCCCUUAAAACUAUCGAGCAUGAGGCUAGAUGCUAUAGCCAUUCCAUCUUGCUUUGGACAAUCUGUUUCAUUCCCAAACCAUUUCUGUAUUAUGUUAUUCAUAAACUCUCCUUCCAUCACCUGCAAGACUGCUCUUGAGACGUCAGGUACCAAAGGAGAUCCUUUUGGAAAUGCCUGCCAGAAGUUGGGGGAAAAUAAAAGAUUAAAUUAUUGAGUAGAACAUAAACCAUUCUAAACAAAUGUAAACACGUUCUGAAACAUCACUGGAGUGCAACAUUCUUACGAAUCCAAAGCCAGCAGCCUUGUAUGUCGGACCGACCAUAAUAUACUUCCUGCAAUACUUGUUGAGGAAGAGUCUGAGAUAAGGUAGUUCAUCAACAAUUGCACCAACACCUCCAUUUUUACUUCCUCUUGAGAGGGCAUUACUAUACUCUUCCAAUGUGCUAUAACUUAUGAACUUGGAACUGUCAAACUUCAUGUGCUUCAAGACAUCUUUGACAAAGGAACCUUCUUGGUACCCAACAUAUUCUCCAUUCUUGAUCAGAUCAUUGAGGUCAGUUAUAGAAGGUUGGAGCUGUUGCACUGUCAACAUAGAUGUUAAGUUGGCUGUAUAACUUGAUGUCAGCACCAGAACCACGAAAACCCACACAAUCAGCACAAAUCUUGUGAAGUUACUAGUAACCCUCUCUCCUGAAACAACCAGCCAUAUAUAUGAUUUGUUGAGAAACAAGGAUAAAUCCUAAAGCUUUUUGUAUAUAAUUUGCUUUGUGUUAGAGACUUACUAUGAGCAAAAACGAGAGUUGAGAAGGAAAACCAGAAUAUCAUCCCAACUUGCUUGUGUUUGGGUCCUCGAAACUCUUUGUUUACACGAUGUUCAAGUACCCAAACCACAAAACCAAUGAAGAUGAAGAAUCCUCCUGUUGUUAUCCAAAGCUCGCUCUUUAGAGGUUUCAAGAAAAUCCAAGCAUUCUUUCUAUCAUCAUUCUUUACCGACACAACAGCAGAAAUACCGGACUCUGAAAAAGGUAAUGUGAAAUCCACAUACUUGGCUCGGCUCGCUAAAAUGGUCACAUCACCUACAACUGCAUCAUAUUCCUGGUUCAAGCAAACAACGAUUAUUUUAGUAUAUAUGGUUGAUCUCAGUCAAAGAAGAAAGUAGAUAUGGAAGUCCCGGAAAGGAGCAUGUAAGGUAUUCAGCCAAAAAGGUUAAUUCAAAAAAGAAUUGGAUAUUACCUUUGAGGAGAUCUUGUAAACAAGAUCAUCAUAGUCUUGAGAAGUGGGGCUAACUAUUGGAAAUGGAAUAAAUUCGUAAGGGAUGGCGUAUGGCAAAGAUUGGAUAACUUCUUUGAAGACAUCUGGAAUGAAACCAGUUGCAGUUACUGCUUGUGUUUUGGCAUCUAUUUCCACUUUAAUGAAUUGCUCCAGCCCUCCUUUGACAGGAACUCCAACCCUCAACUUCUUCCCACUUGUGGGUAUUUCCCAGCCUCUCGGAACAAUAAUAGAUUCACCAGGCCAAAUGAUGGCCGCUAGUUGCUCAUUCAUACUCUUAGCUGUUUUACUAUUCAUCUUCAGUUUAUGCGAAAUGCCAUCCUUCUCGGUCCAGAAUCCAAUGCUUCUCUCUCCUUUCCCAAUUAUAUUCACAAUCUCAUAUGUGUAUAGCUGCAAUUCUCCAUCAAUGAUACGGAAUUCACCACUUAGUCCUGUUUUUGGCUUUGUAUUUCGCAUAGAGUCAAGGAGCAGAGAUCCAAAUUCUGAGGUUCCAAGUGCAUCUAAGUCCGUUAAAUUCUCUCUAGUGUCUGCUUUCUUGAAUUUUGGGAUGAUGGUAGUGCCCACUUUUGCUAUUGCUUUUGUUAAUGCGGUGAUGCUAUCAUAUGCCCAUAGCCCGUAAACAUUGAGUUCAACUGGGUCCAUGUCUGGAUACUCUUGACGGAAUCUCUUUCUCCAUCUCCUCGUGUAAUUGUUAAGCUCAUUUGAUCUUGGAAUAUAAGGUUUUAUACCAAGAACACCUUGCAUUGAUGACUCAAUUACUGAAGUAUCUACCAGGUCCAGAAGACUCGUUAGCACAUCUGUGAUGAUCCAUGCAUAUCCACUGUUCAUCAUCCCGGUUUCUUUGGCCUUGAGGAAAAGGCGGGAGGCAAGAUGUUCUUGCAAGUGCACAAUGAACACCCUGGUCUGCAUUGUCUUCAACUUGUAUAGCUCCCUGAGGAUUUGAUCAUCAUUGGCUGAAGGAGAAAUACCACUUCUAUAGGAGACUAAAGUAUUGAUUUCCAGCAAGGCAUCAGUCAAAUAUGGAAGUAUCCCGGUUCCAUAGGGGCUUUCCUCAUAGAUUACUACAACCUCCCUCCAAUUAUAGUUUUUAACAAUUGCUGCAAUGGCUUUAGUCUGACUGGAAGAAGGAAGUGCGCCUCUGAUGAAGAAGGGAUUUUCCUUGACUGAAAGUGAAGGACUAGUUGCUGGAGAUAUUAUAGGAACUUUAACUCUGUUCCCCAAGUCGAUCACAAAAUCAGUUUGUGUAGACAUUUGUGGCCCAAAGAUAGCUUGCACUUGGACAUCCUUUAGCAAGUAUAUGGCUGCACAUACACAAUCAGACUAUAAGAAAUUGUCUGAACAUCUCUUUUUCAAAAUAGGAAAAGUAAUAUCUUAGAGAAAAAGUGAAUCUUUUGAAGCAAAGAGAGAAAAAUAAUCCUAGUUUAACAUAAGUAAAGCUUAGAGCUGAAUUUUACCAGCUGAUGCUGCUUCAACAUCAUCUUUCUUUGAAUCCCUGAUAUGAGGAACUAUCCUUAUGGCACCGCGACUAGUGUUGGCAUGAUAAUCUGCAAGAGCUAGUAAGAUAGAUAUGUGCAUUACUUUUCCCACAUCUGUUUCCAGAUCAAGAAUUAUGCCCACAUCCACCUUUACAGCACUAGUGUUAUUAUCUUCACCUCUUAUUCCAAUUACAUAGUGGCAAAAGCUAAUGAUGGAAACAAGUUGAAUGAAAAUAAUUAGGAAUUUGCAUCUUGGAUUAUGCAUUUGAAAAACUCUUGUAGAAAGUAAUAUGAGUGUUGGGCAAGAAGCAGUUGUGCUUGUGCAAGAUUUAUAACCACCAUUCAGAGAUGUGUUUAAAGGUAUCUUAACUAUAACUUUUCUACAAUUAAAUGAGACCAAACCUCAUAACUGCAGAAAGAAAAGUCAAAGUUUUCAAAGAAUUACAAAUGGUUUAAAAUAUACUAGUUUGAUUAUUAAAGAAAGAGGACUUUUCACACUUGUUAGACCACAAGCUAGUAAAGCCUCCUCAGUUUUGACCAAAUCAAUAAAUGACUAAAUGAACAUAGUGACAAAAUUGAUUUGUACUCAUUCUCCCAAUACCCAAAGAAGUUUUUGUAUUCAUUGGAUGACUAUCUAGAGGCUACUAAAAGGACUUCCCAUAUUUUGGCUAAGUCAUGUUGAAAGUUGAGUGCUAGCUCAGUUACAAAUAAGUAGAAGAGGUCAGUUUCUAUGACUUGGACAUUGGAAAAGGGCAGCUAUGACUAGUAAUCUUUAGUUUACUUAGACGGUUCAGUUUAGAAUUGGUCAGUAGUAUAAAACUUUAUGGUGGUAGAGGCACAACUUGUAGGGUUGUUCCGGGUUAUCGUUAAAAAAUCAAAUCAAACUUGUAGGGUUGUUUGGUUAGGUUUUAAAUUUUGAAAAUCAACACUAUUUGGUUUGGUUUGGUUUUAAAACUGUAAAAAUAACCAAAUUGAACGUGUAAUUAUAAUAAUUGCUUGAUUGAAUCCACAGUAACUUUCAUGUGUAUUGUUCAUGUACUAGGUGUCUGUGUUUAUAUGUCUUCAAAAAAAUUAUUACUUCCAAAACAAAAAAACAAAAAAAAUUGAACCAAACCGACAAUUAUUUUUUUAUUUGGUUUUAGAAUUUAGAAACCGACUAAAUUGAUCUGGCUUUGAUUUUAGCCAAUAAUCAAUCCAAAUCGAACCAUGAACACCUCUAGGCACAAAUAUAACUUGGUAUGUGAAGGAUUACUAUAAUACCUUUCCUUCAACUUUUUUUUAAAAAAAAAAAACCUCUAUUGGUAAAUUUUUCAAAUCAGUUUUUUUUACUCAUGAGCUCUAUUCCUUUCCCUUUUAUAUUUUUUAUAAUAUAAAAUAUAAGAUAAAAUAAAGAAUUUUUUUAAAAAGAAAUGAGAAAAAAAAUGAUGAAGAUGAGGGGUGAGGAGCUAAAGGAGAGAAGAAAGAUAGAACAUAAGAUGAGAAAGGUAGGGUCCCCAUAUUUUCUUUAUCAAAAAGUAAUUUCUUACCUACCAAAGUCAUAUUUAUGCCUCUACCACCACAAAUUUUUUCGUAUUAACUUGCUUGCAAGUUGCAAAACCAAACAAAGCAAGCAUACCCAAAUGGAGAUGGAAUCUUGGAAUGAGGAUGGUUGGGUAUACAUGUAGGUUUCAAUGUCAUUAUCUCAAUAUAUAUAUACUAGAGGGGCAUGGCCCGUGCUAAGCACGGGCCCAACAUAAACAUAGUUAGUCUAUUAUUCUCUAUAUAGGCAAAAUAUUGUUGGAAACUAUUCACUUAUAUAAGUAACUAAUUCAAGUUAUGUGUUUGUUAACAAAGUUUAUUCAUUCAAGCAUCUGCAAACUAUACACCAUACCAAACCACCAAUAAAGAAAAAGACAUGAAAUGUUAACACAAAUUAAACAACUUCAAAAGAAAGAAAGAAAAGAAGAAGAAUCAAGGAGGUGAAAGAACAUUAAAAUUUUGCAGUCUUAUCAGUCAAAUUCUAGUGGUGUCACAACUUUCACAGGGACCAUCAACUCUUCAACUUUUUGUACAUAUUUGCUUUUCAGUGCCAAUAAAUUAUUAUCUGUCGUUCCUGCAAGUUUUUGGAAAAAGUGUAUCAACAAUUGAUGCUAAAGAUCAUAUACUUUGUUUUGUAUUUUAUUUUACCAAGUAAAAAAGUCAGUAAUUGAUAUACCUAAUUUACUGCACUUAAGACAUUCUAGCUUCUAAAUCUAAUAAAACAAUACUAAUGAACACUUUUAAAUAAAUGAAAGAUGAUGGUACCUAAGGGAUGGAGUAAAUGAAUCAUGUGAAGUAAGCAAAUUGAAGUCAAAGUGAAUGUGUCAAUUACGUGGCCAUUAUAUCAAAUAUUUGUCAAUUCUAACCAAAAAGAAAUUGUUAGACAGUAAAUUUGUAAAACUUUAUAGAAAAUGACCUUUUAUUUUGUCUAUUUUGCCCUUUCAUGUGCUCCUUCAUGUCGCUUCCCCUUUCCAUUUUGUCGUCCCUCUCAUCUCAAUUCCCGUUUUGUUGUCCUCUCUUCCCAAUACUAUUUUUAUCCAGCUUGAUCUGGAAAAGAGGUAACUGACAUAUUAGUGUACUUAAUUUGGAACAAAAUCACUUGGAGAACAAUAAAGUAGGUAAUAAACACGAACAAUACUUAGACUCUGAAGUCUUGGUGAUAGUUAAGUAGUAGAAUGAGGAAGAGAUUAUACAAAUCAAUAGAGUUCAAACAACAACAUAUCUUAUCAAAUCUUAUCACUACCUCGUGGAGGUAGAGGUACUCUUUCCGAAAGAUCAAAUCACUGAUCUCGAUAGUUAUUGUUGAGUAGUUAAUACAUAAAUCUCUCCAGAGUAACAAAAAAAGGGCAGAUAGGGAUUAAAAGAAAUUAAGAAAAUGAAAUACGAUGCUACAUUUCUCAAGAGUUAAAAAGAGGGACAACCAAUUUGAGUAGUAGAUUCAGGUUGAUGGUGAUCUACUAUACAACUAAAUGGUGCAACAACUCAAAAUCUCAAGGAAAACAAAUCAAGACAUUCUUGCAAAUUAAAGGCACUAAUAAAACUGCGGCAGAAAUUCUCGUGACUGUGUGGUUCUAUAUGGAAAAUGACUUCCACAUGCUUGGUCUUAGCAAUACGCCAUGUGCACAAGGAAAAAUAUAUUAUAACCACGCGUUUCUUGUUACCGAUAAACAUGACUUAUGAGAAAGUCAGUUUUUAAGAGAAUUCGAAGAACAACAGGAUAAGAAACUACCCUUUCAUUUACUUUCUCAAACACUUAAUAAGGCUUCCGUUUUUUCAACAUUCUUGCAGAGUUGAUUGUGGAGAUCAACAAUUCAUCCAUUUGACCAUUAUCACUUGUAGACACACUAAACUGACAAAGAGUCUUAUAUCAGGGGUGUAUAAAUGAAAACCCCUUCUUUUCAUAUCUAUUUGAAUUGAUUAAACUUGUCGCACAACAAAUAGGAUCAACGUUUUCAGUAAUCAAAGGAAAGAAAAAAAUCUACAUCAAAGGCAUGUUAUAUGAAGUAUGUGAAAUAAGGAUUGUAGAAACGAAGGAGAAAUAAAGAUUUGAUUAGCUUACCAUUCAAAGUAAUUGUAGACAAACAAAGAAGAAGUGAAUAUUUGAUCACCGCUUACCGUUCAACUCAACUGUAGACAAACGAAGAAGAAGUGAUUGACCCUUAAUUUGGAAUCAAUUGAUUUUUUACUAUAUCUCGAUAAAAAAUUUAAUUUAUGUAACUCAUUUCUAUAUAAACAACCAAGAUGCUUAGAACAUACAUAACAUAUUCAAUGUGGCUUACUUCUAUAAAAAUCAUAAAUAAAAUAUAAAGGAAAGCUUCAAACUCUACCUAAUUAGUUCAUAUGAUCAGCAAAAUCCAAAAAACUUGAAAAAAGAAACAAAUUUGUACUCUCUUGCAGAAAUAAGUUUUGUCUUUUGGAAACAACCUCUCUAUCUCCACGAAGUAGGGGUAACAGUCUACGUACACUCUACCUCCUCAAACCUCACUUAUGGGAACUACACUGGGUAUGUUGAUGUUGUUGUUGUUGAAAUAAGCACAAAAGACUGGACUCUCACUAAAACUUCCGUAAAGAUCAAAUUCUUAAGUUUCAUUCUGCAACUAAAAAUCCCGAAAAUGAAGAAUCAGAUUACUCACAUUGACAAAAGUGGGGUAAAAAAUAACUUGAGCUUUGCUAUUCAAAACAUCAACAACUUCUUCAAUCCCAGAAAGUCUUUUAAUUGCCUUUAAAUGCCUAGCACUAUUUUUUUAAGAAGAAAUUACUGAACAACCUUAGUGAAAAUUCCAAAUUCGCCAUUGCAUCCAACCCCCGUCCCAUCCCUGGACUAUCCUACACCAGCUACCCUUAAAUCCUCACCCAUCCAUCCCAUUGAGUUUUGCUGGAUUACAACGGCCCCCAUCCCAUCCCUUGACUAUCCUAUACAAAAUGGAAAAUCUCUUCUCCAAGGAGUUAGGAGACAAUAAUCGACAUAACUAUGUCAUCUUAUAUAGGGACAAAAUGAAUACAAUCUCACCCUGUGGUCUUCGAAUCUAUAGUAGACAAACGGUAAGUAAAGAGAUAUUGUAUAACUGCACCAACUAUUCAUUAUUUCUGAAGUAAUACAGUGAGUGCAUCACAUGUUAAAGAAAUAAAAUUAAGUUUAUUACUUUUAUUCAUGAACAUGUACAACUCUUGAGAUGAACUUUAAUUUGUCAGUAAACUAUAAAAUAGAGGUAAUUUGUAAAGGCUUAAGCCUAUUGGAUUAGAUUAUGUUCUCCGUGGGGGCAGUUUUUCUUCAACUCCAAAACUGUAUACGUCACUUCUGGUGGUUAUAUGAUUUACAUAUGAGAGGCGACAAUUAGAAGCUGAGAAAAGAAAUGAUCUCAGGUUACAUGACAGAACAAACCAAGUAAUGUUACACUCCCAAUUUCUUUCAGGACACAUAGUAUUGAUAUUUGCGAGCAUGAAAGACUGAAGGAUUAAACAGAGGAGAUAACUCUUAAGAGAGACCUCAUCAAGAACUUAAGAAAAUUUGUGUGAUAAUUUAACAAAUUUAGCGAGGCUAAUUGAUGAAGGAAGUCUAUUCACACUAUAUUCAUUUUAGUGCACUUAUUGACUAAAUGUUUCCCAAGUUCGAAUGUGAGGCCUCUAUUUGAGGAUGUAAUAAAACAACAUUUACCAUUAGAACUAAUUGAGCAGCUUGUGUUAACCCUCUGUAUUUACCUGACGAAUAUGCUUUAAGGUGGAGGAAUUUUUUGCAGUAGUCUUCUAUUAAAACAUCAUUUAAGCUACCUAAAUGAAUGGACAACAUGUAGUUUUUCGACGCAGAAACAAAAAAUCUACCUAACAAAGAGACAGAUAUAUCAAAGAAGCCACAGGUCGAUAAUCAGAGUGUCCUAAAGAGUUACAUUUACAAAAGUUGAGGAGACUGGACACGCUGUCAAAUUAACUCAACACUGAUGCUGCAUUGAAAGUGAGAGUCCAUGUAAUGUGGAUACAAUUCAUUAAGUACACACAAAACAGUCAGCAACUAAUUUCAGUGAUGUGCAACAAAAUUCAUAUAACAUAGCCACCAAGUUGACCAUAAAAUCCAUCAAAACACAUUAAUGAGGAAUUCGUCUUACUUCAGUUUUGAAUUCCCCCGGCUUUUAAGUAUACAAGCCACAUUUUUACUGAAUUUUCUCUUCAAGUGCAGUAAAGUAGCUCAAAGAACAGAAAGCAAAGUUACAACUGACAACUACAUCGAGAAAGAGGCUACUAUGGACUGUCAAUUUUUACAUGUGAAUCCAAAAAUUAAGCUCGCAUAACAACGGGUAAUAUACCAAAUUCAUAUUAAAUUUUAGAUCAAACAACAUCAUUUAUCAUGCCAAAACAGUCUAGCUGUGCAACUUUUAAGCAAUUUGGAUACACUUAUAUCUAAAAAUUGGCUAAACUAUUGAUAAACGUACUAUCUAAUGCUGGAAAUAUGACAUAGUACAGUGAAUAUUGAUCAAUUUACUACCAUCGCUGCAUUUUGAUACUCCUUGAACAGAGAAACGGAUGGAAAUGGACCAGCCAAGCUACGCCUAAUUACACCAUCUCUAUCUUUUAACUACUUUUGUACUUGGCUUCCGAUUGACGCUCAGCUCAGGUAAAGCACAAGAACAAUUAGGAGUAAAUUGAAAUUGUAUAUUACCAGUGGUCAUAUACUCGGGAGUAGCACAACUGAAUUGUAUGGACAAAUCAUAAGAGGGCAACAGAAAUAUUGUUAAAACUUGUAGAAGACUAAAUUUUAAAGUAGUUUUAGAUACAGCAGCCAGCAAAAUGUUAGAUGAUUUGAAAUCCUGAUACAUAAUUUUAGCUUCUGGGCUGUGGAGAUAUGUCAGUCCUUUAGCUGCCUUGAGAGUAACCUUCAUUCGGAGAUUCUAUGAUAGCGGUUGGAAAUAAGCACUCCUCUGUUCAAGAUGUACCAAAGGUUUAUUCAAUGACAUUACACGGAUAAUAUUAGUGGAUGUCCUCAAAUUAGAUGUGGAUUCAAGAUUUCAAGUUUAUGGAUUUCUAUAAUGAACUAAGUUCAUAGUAAAAUAAAUUUCUUAUACAUGGUUUAGAAAAAACAAUUGGGUCCCCAUGAAUCUACAUAUCAUAUUGUGGAUCUGUUCUUGCGUUAAAUAUGCAGUUAUGGUUUCAUACAAACUAUACUUACUUCUGAAUAGAUGAUUUUCCAAACUUCCCCUCGGCAUGAAUUCGCACACCAGAAUCUUGUGUUCAUCUUCUAACCUGGCUCAGGUAAGCAAUUUUCGCCUGUAGUUUAAGUGUACAGAGAAAACAGUUAAUCAACUUAUCAAGAUCAAGAAUUAUAGGAAAGCUUCAAUGUCUUUGAUAAAACAAUCAUCGGAUAUUUUAAAGGGAAGAGUUUAUAUACCAAUCAUUCCUUGUGACCUUGAAAGCUUUCUUCAAGAAUUUCACUUUGACUUUGAGGAGUCAACUGAGCCGAUAAAUAUGAAUGUGAUCAUGGAAAUGAUGCCUAAUUAAUAUGUAUCUUUGUAUGUCUUCUGUCUGUUCCUAGUAAAAGUUGCACCAGUUUACAUCAAUUAAGUAAUAAACUGAAUAAGUUAUAACAUGACUAUCUUAUAGCUUAUUUCAAACUGAACACGUACAUCUUCAUUACGUUUUUUAAAAUUUAGUAGAAAUAGAAAUGUAUAAUGGUACCUGAUAAGCAAAUCAAAUUCGUGACUAUCUUCUUGGCUCAUUCGUUAUGGAUGAACUUGAAGUUUCAUAAUGAACUUACUUUCAGCAGGGUUAUAAGCAUCCAGAUCAUAAAAUUCUUCAGGGGCAAAUGGUAUAGGAACAAAUCUCUGAGCCAAUUUUGUAAUUCCCUCAAGGCGGUAACUAUUGAUUGAAAUCUGCAUUUUUCCAUAGCUUUCAGAUAAAUGAAUAAGAUGUGUUAAAAAUGGAGAUUGUUUGCUAUUUAUAUACCGAAACUUGCACUCUAUGAAAAAUAAAUAACUUAUCUUACAAAGAAUUCUUCAUGUUCAAAGAAAGUCUCCCGUGUCAUAUAAGCAAAUUAUAGUUUAUGUUUAUCUACAUAUACAUAUGUUAGUAUUCAACAUUAUAAUUCAACUGCAUAUCCAACUGGAAAAUUAAAUCAACUAAAGAGGGAGAAAUACUGGACUUUCCACAUAUGAGAAAGGGUUGUGAAAAUAGGGUAACUCUAAUAGCUAAUCCUUCCAGUUGAAAGUGUUUUUGAGAAAAAAAAUCAAAUUAAGUUCGAUGUACCUGAUAACGCUCAAUGUUCCCUGCAUGGCAUCUUCUCAAUUUCUUUCCUUUCCUUUCUUCUCCAAGUACUUGUAAAGUCCUAUUUAUGAAAAAUUAACAAAUUGAAAAAACACCCACAUCAAGAACAAAAGCGGAAGAAACACUACAUUUCAAUAAUCAAAAGCACAAAAAAUUGAAAUACAAAGCGGGACAACGGAGAAGAAGAGGAGUAAACGACCAUAACAACAACAUCCAAUCAAGUUUAGAUUCAGUACAUGCAACAUUACCACAACCUAAACACCAAAAUUGAUGAAUAAAAAAAAGUCGGAACUCAUCAAAUGAAAAAAUCGACAAAACAGAUCUAAAGUCAAAAGGCAAAACAAAAAUGAGAAGAAAGAAGGAAGGGAAGAAGCAGUGCAUACCUAGGAAGGUAUGCAAUUUAACUGAGAAUUUCAUAUGAGGGCUUGCAAAACCCUUCCAUUUUGCAGAGCAUUUUUUCUUGGGACAGAGAAUGGAUGCAGAGGAACAGGGAUAUAUCACAUAGCUAGGACACGUGUUUCACAGAUGAAUAUACAGAUACACAUUAGUUAGAAAGCAAUGAGUCAAAUUACCAAAUUAACCCUAUUGGUACAAUUAACUUGAAUUUUGGUACAACUUGUAUAUGUUGUGUUAGUCCGAACUCUUGUUGGCUGUAGAAGGACACGUGUAGCCCACGUGUUUAUUCAAUAGUGAAUAGGGCUUAAUGGUACAGUACAAUUUUUUAUACUAUUGGUACAACUUUGUAGAGCUGUGUUGGUACUCUUCUUGUUGGCUUAUAUAUAAGGGUAAAGAGCUGUGUUGGUACUCUUCUUGUUGGCUUAUAUAUAAGGGUAAAGAGCUGUGUUGGUACUCUUCUUGUUGGCUUAUAUAUAAGGGUAAAGAGCUGUGUUGGUACUCUUCUUGUUGGCUUAUAUAUAAGGGUAAAGAGCUGUGUUGGUACUCUUCUUGUUGGCUUAUAUAUAAGGGUAAUAUAUAUACUCCCUCCGUCCCAAUUUAUGUGGCACCCUUUAUUUAUAGUCUGUUCCAAAAAACAAUGUCAUCUUACUAUAAUUAGAAACAAGGGAAAAGACUCAAAUAUGUUAUUGAAAUUUGAGAAAAGACUCAUUUAUGUCGUCCGUUAAAAGUUUGGUUCAUCUAUGUCAUUUUCGUUUGAGAAAAAACUCAUCCAUAUCAUUAGUUGUAAACUAAAAAUAAUUUUGGUUUUGUAAGAUCAUUUUAUACACGUGGUCAAUUAUGAUUUGGCCAUGUCAUCAAUUAAAUCAUUUCUAUAGAAGAGAAAAGGUUCAAAUAUGUCAUCGAACUUUGAGAAAAACUCAUUUAUAACAUCCGUUAAAAGUUUGUCUCAUCUAUGCUAUUUCAGUUAAUAAAUAAUGGCAUGAAUGAGGUUUUUCUCAAAUGAAAAUGGCAUAGAUGAGCCAAUUUUUUAACGAAUGACAUAUAUGACCUUUCUCAAAGUUCGAUGGCAUAUUUGAGUUUUUUCACUAGAAACAAUUUCAUUUAAAAUUCACUGUUAUCCUUAAUGAAAUUAUUUACAAACACACAAAUAUCUAAGGAUUGUUUUAAAUCACAAGUUUAAAAGUCUUUUUUUAAAAAAAUAAAUAUAUCGUGUCAAGUUAAACAAUGCCACAUAAAAUGAGACGGAGAGAGUAAUUGUUAAUGCAAGAGGAAGCUGCUCGGGAAGUUACGUGUAUGAUGUUGAAGUUAUUUGACAUGCAAUUGAGGUGAUCCUAUAAUCUUCCAGUAGUUAUGACUAGUAAAAUCACUCAAUUUAUAAAAUAAUACUUAAAAUAUAUGAGUCAUUAAAACUAAAACACUAUAUUAUCUUACAUAUAAGAUUACAUAUAACAAACAUUAAUAAUGUAAGUAAAAAAAAAUUUGAAUAUGUUAACAAAUUUUUGAAUUUUUUCCUCAGACAUAUAUCACAAUUGUAAAAUCUAUGCAACUUAAAUGUGUUCUUGUUCUUACGAAACGCCUUUGUGUAUAUAUAUUCUUAUUUUAUUCUCUCUUUUUUUCCUUUUAAUGAUGAUUAAAUAACCAUUAAUUUAUUAUUUCCUGAAUAAUUCAUUCAUUAGAUGUUCUUGAGUUUAUGUGAUAAUGACAAAUAAUAGUAUAGAUUCUUUUAAGGAAUUUUUUACUGUACCUUCAACAAUUUCAUGAUCAGUAGAGAAAACUUGCAUGAAUACUCAAUUAACAUGUGUUGUUUAAUCUGUACUAACAAAUACUUAAAACAAUAACUUUGUAGAAACAUAAACACAAGUUUAAAACAUGUACUCAAAAACAAUAAUUAAUAACAUAAGCAUAAAUUAAUGAUUGUAAAAAAAUAUACCAGGAUCUGUAAUAAUAGGAUGAAACAGAAAGGAAAAAACUGUACACGAAUAUUUAAUUGUGCAGAUUAAGAAGAAGAAGUUCAAAAUUUUCGUUUUUUUAAAAUGAGAGGAAAUCACUCUAUUUAUAGCUAGACAACAAAGGGUAGUGUGAACAAAUGUUUAUUGUGCCUUAUCGAAAAGGUCACAACUCUUUGGAAAAGUUACAACUGUUUGGAAAGGUCAUAACCUUUCAUAAAAGACACAACUUUUCAUAAAAGUCGCAACUCUACAUAGAAGUUACAACUUUUCAUAAAAGUCGCAACUGUUCAUAUAAGUCGCAACUUUUCAUAAAAGUCACAACUUUUCAUUAAAGUAGCAAAUUUUUAUGAAAGGGGAAGGAUAGUUUUGUAAAUAUAUUAAUUAAAAAAGGAAUCAUGGUUUGUGAUGGCGCCACGUAGGCAGGCCUAGGAUUCUCUUUUAUAUAUAUAUAUGAUAUAUGAUAUGAUUAUUUACUGUGGUCGUUUUCUGAUAUGAUCACAAUAAGAUAUAACCGUCUAUUAUCUUUUAAACUUGUUUUUCUUUUUAGUUUGCAAUAUAUUUUGGAUUGGUAACAUUAGUAGUAUUAAAUUGUUAACAGCACUAGUUUGCAAUAUUUUUGGUUUCUACAAACAUUAUUUGCACAUAUUGAAAGAAAUAUAUAUGAUAUGGUUUCAUUGAAUUAUAUCCUCUACAUAAGCAGUGAAGACAAACAAAGUACUAAUGUUAUUUAAAUUGUCUCUAAAAUUUUGAUGAUUUAACAAACUUUGAGAUCUAACGAACGACCAGAUUCCAAGAGAGAUUGAGAGUUCCGUUUAUGAAAAAAACAGCGGUCUAAAAGCUGCAACACCUGCUGUGGUUGGUGCACGUAUUUUGCAGCAGACAUUCAGCCAAUAGCAGGGCAUUGCUUCAAGAGUUUGGGUCCAUCCUAUAAUACACCUCUUUGACAUUGACACAAACUCAAGUUUUUGCAAUAUAAAAAUUCACAACAGCAAAAGUCAUUCUCUCAGGGAAAUAUUUCUCGAUAAAUGAUAGAGUUAUCAUCGUUCUUAUGUGUUUUUAGGGCUUAUAUUUCUGUGCUUAUACUUGUAAGAUCUAUUCCUACGUUAUAAAGGAAUUAGAUCAUUUGAAGUUUUUUCUGAGUAUUCCGAGUUAUAUCUAGAGUUAGUUAUGUUGUAUUCUUGAAUUCUAGAUCAACUAUAGCUAGUUGAUUUAGUGGGUCAUAGAGUUAUUGCUUAGUUUUUGAGUAACAGAGUUGUUACUAUGAGGGGAAGGGAUUAAGAGUUUAAUUCCUAGGUUACAAGAGUUUGUAAUCUGAAGCUUUGCACUUUUGAUGAUAAUGGAGUUGGGUUAAAUCCUGUGAGACAGACCGUGGUUUUUUCCUCCCUUGAACAAGGGGCUUUCCACGUAAAACUCUUGUAUUUGUUUUAAUUUGUGUUAUUUAUUUUCCACACAAUUUUUCUUUCAAGGGACUUGGUCCAUUGACCGUUAGUGGACGCAUACAUUCUAUGAGUACUAAUAAGAUUGAAAAAGAAACCACUAAGAAAAAGUUAGGGUUAAAUCCAUCAAAUGGAAUCCUGGAGCCACCUCUUGAUGCUAAUAUUCUGGCCAAGAUCAGUAACAAAGAUAUAAUGUAAUCUGGUUUAACUAACCCUAAAGCUAGCUCAUCUCUGUGCAAUCUCAUAUAGGGCCCUAUUCAGGUGUGUCACAAUUAUGGUAGUAGCUAUAUGUGUCAUCUUUCUUCAAUUGUGUCUGUAAUGGUUUCAUGAACUGGAGUUCCAGGUUCUGUUGUAGAGAACCCUUCAGCAGCAGGGGAUGCUCCUAGUCCGUCGGAAAUUCUGAUUUCUGGGAUUUGCAAAGGAAGGUCAGGCAAUAUCUCAGGAGAAGCUUCACUUGCUGCGAGCAAUUUAGGUGCAUUGCUUUCAGAUGGCUUUUCUGACAUAGAAUUAGAGUUGUCUUUCUCUUCAUCAAAGACUUUUGCAAUUGCUGUAAGCUUCUGCCAUAUUGAAUCAUCAGUGGCUAAGAUUUCUCUAUUCUGAUUAAGGAAGUUGAGGAAGAAUAGGAGAAGAGCGAAGCCUGCUGAUACACCAGCUAUGAGGAAAAGUCCCUUAAACCUAUCUAACGUGAGGCUAUCAGAUGUUAUAGCCGUUUCAUCUUUCUGUGGACAAUCUGUUUCAUUCCCAAACCAUUUCUGUAUUAUGUUAUUCAUGAACUCUCCUUCCAUCACCUUCAAGACUGCUCUUGAGACGUCAGGUACCAAAGGAGAUCCUUUUGGAAAUGCCUGCAAUAAAAGAUUAGAUGAUUGAGUAAACAACAAAUCAUUCUAAAUAUAUGUUAACAGUGUCUGAAACAUCAGUGGAGUGUACAAUCUUACAAACCCAAAACCGGCAGCCUUGUAUGUCUGGCCGACCAUAACAUACUUCCUGCAGUACUUGUUGAGGAAGAGUCUGAGAUAAGGUAGUUCAUCAACAAUUGCACCUACACCUCCAUUUUUGCUUCCUCUUGAGAGGGCUUCAUCAUAUUCUUUCAAUGUGAUAUAACUUCUGAACUUGGAGCUGUCAAAUUUCAUGCGCUUUAUGAAGACAUCUUUGACAAAGGAACCUUCUUGGUACCCAACAUAUUCUCCAUUCUUGAUGAGAUCAUUGAGGUCUGUUAUAGUAGGUUGGAGCUGUUGCAGUGUCAACAUAGAUGUUAAGCUGGCUGUAUAACUUGAUGUCAGCACCAGAACCACAAAAACCCACACAAUCAGCAAAAAUCUUGUUAAGUUACUUGUUACCCUCUCUCCUGCAACAACCAGCCAUAACAUAUUCUCCAUUCUUGAUGAGAUCAUUGAGGUCUGUUAUAGUAGGUUGAAGCUGUUGCACUGUUAACAUAGAUGUUAAGCUGGCUGUAUAACUUGAUGUCAGCACCAGAACCACAAAAACCCACACAAUCAGCAAAAAUCUUGUUAAGUUACUUGUUACCCUCUCGGCUCGCUAAAAUGGUCACAUCACCUACAACUGCAUCAUAGUCCUGGCUCAAGCAAACAUUGAUUAUUCCAGUAUGUAUAGUUGAUUGUAAUAGCAGAAAAUAGAUAUCGAAGUCCCAAAAAGGACCAUGUUAGUAAGAUAUAGAGCCAAAGAGGUUUAUUGGAACAGAGAUUAUAUAUUACCUGAGAAGUGAUCUUGUGAACAAGAUCAUCAUAGUAUGGAAGAGUGAGGGGAUCUUGUAUUGGAGAUGGAAUAAAUUCGUAAGGGAGAGCAUAUGGCAAAGAUAGGAUGACUUCUUUGAAGACAUCUGCACAGAAACCAGUUGCUGUUACUGCUUGUGUUUUUGAAUCUCUUUCCACUUUAAUGAGUUGCUCCAGCCCUCCUUUGAGAGGAACUCCAACCCUUAACUUCUUCCCACUUGUGGGCAUUUCCCAGCCUCUUGGAACAAUAGUUGAUUCACCAGGCCAAAAAAUGGUUCCUAGUUGCUCAUUAUUACACUUAACUGCUGUUUUACCACUGUUUUACUAUUCAUCUUCAGUUUAUGCGAAAUGCCAUCCUUCUCUGUCCAGAAUCCAACGCUUCUCUCUCCUUUCCCAAUUAUAUUCACAAUCUGAUAUGGGAUUGGCUGCAGUUCUCCAUUGAUGAUACGGAAAUCACCACUUAAUCCUUGUUUUAGCACUGUGUUUCGCAUAGAGUCAAUGAGCAGAGAUCCCACUGCUGACGUUCCAAGUGCAUCUAAGUCUGUUAAGUUCUCUCUGGUGUCUGGUUUCUUUAAUUUUGGGAUAGCAGUAGUGCCCACUUUAUCUAUUGCUUCUGCUAAUGAGGUGAUGCUAUCGUAUGCCCAUAGCCCGAAAACAUUGAGUUCUAUUUGGUCCAUGUCUGGAUACUCUUGACGGAAUCUCUUUCUCCAUCUUUUCGUGUAAUUGUUAAGCUGAUUUGAUCUUGGAAUAUAAGGUUUUAUACCAAGAACACCUUGCAUUGAUGACUCAAUGACUGAAUGAUCUACUGAGUCCAGAAGACUCGUUAGCACAUCUGUGAUGAUCCAUGCAUAUCCACUGCUCAUCAUCCCGGCUUCUUUGGCCUUGAGAAAAAGGCGGGAGGCAAGAUAUGGUCGCAAGUGCACGACGAACACCCUGGUCUGCUUUGUAUUCAUAUUGUAUAACUCCUUGAGAAUUUGAUCAUCAUUGGCUGACGGAGAAAUAACACUUCUAUAGGAGACUAAAGUGCUGAUUUCCAGUAAGGCAUCAGUCAAAUGUGGAACUAUCCCGAACCCAUAGGGGCUAUCCUCAUAGAUGACCACAACCUCUCUCCAAUCAAAUUUUUUAACAAGUGCUGCAAUGGCCUUAGUCUGGCUGGAAGAAGGCAGUGCUGCUCUGAUGAAGAAGGGAUUUUCCUUGACUGUAAGUAAAGGACUUGUUGCUGGAGAAAUUAUAGGGACUUUUGUUCUGUUCCCUAAGUCAAUCACAAAAUCAGUUUGUGUUGACAUUUGUGGCCCAAAAAUAGCUUGUACUUGGACAUCCUUUAGCAAGUAUAUGGCUGCACAUACACAAUCAGACAAUAAGAAUUUACCCAAAGUAAGAGUUUAAUAGAAGUGAAUCAUGGAACUGAAUUUACCAGCAGAUGUUGCUUCAACAUCAUCUUUCUUGGAAUCCUUGAUAUGAGGAACUAUCCUUAUGGCACCGCGACUAGUGUUGGCAUGAUAAUCUUCAAGUGCUAGUAAGAUAGAUAUGUGCAUUACUUUUCCCUACAUCUGUUUCCUAGAUCAAGAAUUAUACCCACAUCCACCUUUACAGCACUAGUGUUAUUAUCUUCACCUCUUAUUGGAAUUACAUAGUGGUAAAAGCUAAUGAUGGAGAUAAGUUGAAUGAAAAGAAUUAGAAAGUGGCAUCUUGGAUUAUGCAUUUGAAAAAACUCUGGUAGCAAGUAGUCUGAGAGAUGGGCAACAAGCAGUUGUGCUUGUGCAAGAUAACCACACAUUCAGAAUGAUAAAUUUUCCUAUAAUUAAUAAGACCAAACUCCAUAAAUGCAGAAACAAAAGUCAAAGAACAAAUGGUUGAAAAUCAAGUAUUCG